GAGAGUGGACCGCAACACUCCCGAAAGUGAACCGUAACACUACCCAAAGUGAUCCUCAUGAGUUCUUGUUGUCUUUUUUUAUACUUAUUAAUUUUUUACGCGCGUUGACCAAGCGAGUGGACCUUUCAUCGGACAGAAGAACGCACUGCUUCAAACGGAAAACCGCAGUGCAGCAGGCAGUUAAGUGAACUUCAUGAUUUCUUUUUGUCGAACAUGAACUUUCUCCUCACAAGUUUUUGUUGUCUUUUUUUCAACUUUUUUUGAACGAGAGUGGGCCGCAACACUCCCGAAAGUGAACCGCAACACUACCCAAAGUGAACCUCAUGAGUUUUUGUUGUCUUUCUUUUAGUACUUAUUAAUUUUUUACGCGCGUUGACCAGGUGAGUGGACCACAGGGACUGAGCGAGUGAACUACAUCUAAUAUAGAAGCGAGCUUCAUUUUGAGAUCUUUUUUGUUUUGUGUUUACCAAGUGGACAACAGAGGAGUUUUACAUACAAAAUCUGCACUCUCCACCAGCAAAAUCACGGUAGUGAGCUGUAGUUUUUACAAUGAACUAAUGAAGUGCACUUUUCAACAAAAACAAAAUUGAGUAAUGGGGCAUCCAAUAGAACUGCAUCACUUCAUCUUUUCCUGCAAUAAUGAGUAAAAUGAACCUCAAUAGCAAACCAUAGCGGACUUCGUUUGCACUUUUUUUCUCUUCAGAAAUCACAAAGUCAGUGAAGUGCAGAAGAGCACUGCCGAACAACAUGGCAUGCCUAGUCCUACUGCAUAGUGGAGGCCACCAAACUGCCUGGGGAGUCGUCUGCUCGCCCGUCGGUGGAGAAGCAGAGUACCUCCCUCUCGUAGUUGCUAGCCUGCGCUAGACCAGAGCCUCCCCCGACGCCUGCGCGUGUAGUAGCCGCCGGUGGGUGGAGUUUGGCAGCGGCGAGGGAGAGAGCAUAGAUCCGUCCCCUGGCGUAGCGGUGGCCGAGGGAUCCCAGCCAUGGUUGUCGUGGCCUCCCCGCCCUGCUGCCUGCACUAGAAAAUGAUUUUUUUUCAGUGAAUCACAUAGCGAACUGCAAGAAAGGAAGAGAGAAUCAGGGCACUACUAGAUGCUUUGUUGUUCGAAGAAGAAUAGAAGGAAGAAGGGCGCCUUGAUGGUAAACAUCGUCGCAAAUCUCGCCUGAAAGGUGGAGCUGGAGAGGAUCCCACCGGAGGUAUGGACUGCGCGCGGGAGGGACCGGAGAGGAUGCAAGGGAGGCUCGGCCGCGGUCGGUUCCAGGCGGCGGGGGAGUGGUUCGCGUCAUGGCCGCACCGCGCCGCGGGGGGAGGGGGGGCUAGCGGCCGAACCAUGGUGGCUCGCUGUGGUUCGGAUCUAACAACGAGGGGCCUCGUCGGAGGUUGCGGCGCUCGCACCAGCGUGGAGGGGUCGUGGCCGCUUUGGAUCCGGCGUAGGGGAGGGUGGGGCGGCACUGGAAAGGCCGCGGCCGCAUCGGAUCUGGUGAAGGGGAGGGUGGGACGGCGNNNNNNNNNNNNNNNNNNNNNNNNNNNNNNNNNNNNNNNNNNNNNNNNNNNNNNNNNNNNNNNNNNNNNNNNNNNNNNNNNNNNNNNNNNNNNNNNNNNNNNNNNNNNNNNNNNNNNNNNNNNNNNNNNNNNNNNNNNNNNNNNNNNNNNNNNNNNNNNNNNNNNNNNNNNNNNNNNNNNNNNNNNNNNNNNNNNNNNNNNNNNNNNNNNNNNNNNNNNNNNNNNNNNNNNNNNNNNNNNNNNNNNNNNNNNNNNNNNNNNNNNNNNNNNNNNNNNNNNNNNNNNNNNNNNNNNNNNNNNNNNNNNNNNNNNNNNNNNNNNNNNNNNNNNNNNNNNNNNNNNNNNNNNNNNNNNNNNNNNNNNNNNNNNNNNNNNNNNNNNNNNNNNNNNNNNNNNNNNNNNGGGACGGCGCGAGGCAGGCUGGGGCGCGAUGGCCGGCGGCGUCGUGGCUCCGGGCGCAGAGGAAGGUGGCAGGAGGGGACGGUGGUUGGGUUAUGGGCAAUGGGUCGGGGGAGGAAGAAGGUUGGAGGUGGGGCAUGGACACGGGGAGCGGGAGGAGGUGGAGGGAUCGAGGCUGGAGUGGGGGAGAUGGGCCGGUGGGGUGGGUUUUUUUGGUGCAUGCAGUUUGCGCCGGGUCGAUUGAGUGGGUUAGGUGGGGUGUUAGCGGAAUAACGAAUUUGUUAGCAGAAUAAGGCUCUUAAGGGUGUUAUUAGAAUAGACCCACCCUAUAUAUAUAUCUCAAAAGACUAAAUCAACGUUGAGAAGAUAAACCAUGAAGAUAAAUCAAUGUUGAAGACAAACCAAAUGCGAAGUUAAUGCAAUCAUGACGCCAAAAGAAAAUCUUCGAGAAAGUUUGGUGGUGGCGUUACCCACCGUAUAAGAAGUAUUUGACCCAGACACGGCGCACAAUUAUCAUGGCGCUCCAAAGUCAAAUUCCACAUUAAUGUAUUCACACUUAGCGUGUAUGUCUUCAUUGAUUGAAGAUAUACGUUACUCUGUGUGUUGCACAUUUAAGUCAUCAACAUGCAUCAGCGUUAGGAUGUGUGUCCAAUCACAGGACAUUUGAGAAUUCUAAGAUAUUUAGCUCACACCGCAACUUGCAAAACCUUUUCUCAUCUAAGGGCUUUGUGAAGAUAUCUGCCAAUUGCUCUUCAAUGUUGACGUGAAUGAUAUCAAUAUCUUCCUUCAUGACAUGAUCUCUGAGAAAGUGAUAGCGGAUCUGAAUGUGCUUUGUCUUCGAGUGUUGAACUAGGUUGUUGGCAAUCUUGAUGGCGCUUUCAUUGUCGCAGUAGAGUGGCACAUGCUUCAGGUGGAUGCCAUAGUCCUUGAGAGUUUGCUUCAUCCAUAGAAGCUGAGCGCAACAAGAUCCAGCAGCAAUGUAUUCAGAUUCAACAGUAGAGAGGGAUACACAAUUCUGCUUCUUUAAAGACCAACAGAAAAGAGAUCGUCCAAGAAAGUGACAUGUUCCUCAUGUGGACUUGCGAUCAACCUUGUCACCAGCAUAAUCAGCAUCUGAGAAUCUAACUAGAUCAAACCCUGAGCCCUUUGGAUACCAUAAUCUUAGUGUUGGGGUGUAAGCCAAAUAUCGAAGAAUUCGCUUCACAGCUAAGUGAUGUGAUUCCUUUGGUGCCGCUUGAAAUCGAGCACACGCAAACGCUAAGCAUUAUAUCUGGCCUAGAUGCACAUAAAUAGAGUAAAGAACCAAUCAUGGAGUGGUAUACCUUUUGAUCGAACUCUUUACCAUUGUCGUCGGGACCCAAUUGACCUUUGGUUGGCAUUGGCGUCGUGUACCCUUUGCAGUCUUGCAUUCCAAACUUCUUCAAGCAAUCUUUGAGAUAUUUUUCUUGUGAAAUGAAGAUGCCAUUGCUCUGCUGAUGGAUUUGAAGACCGAGGAAGAAUUUCAGCUCACCCAUCAUGGACAUCUGAUAUUGCUCUUGCAUCAUAUGCCCAAACUCAUCACUGUAUCUCUUGUCAGUGCAGCCGAAGAUAAUGUCAUCCACGUAGAUUUGGCAUACAAACAGUUCACCAUCAUAUGUCUUCGUGAAGAGAGUGGGAUCUAGAGAACCAGGUUUGAAGCCUUUGCUCUUCAGGAAGUCUUUGAGUGUGUCAUACCAAGCUCGAGGUGCUUGUUUGAGGCCAUACAGUGCCUUGUUGAGCUUGUAUACCAUGUCAGGAUGCUUUGGGUCUUCAAAGCCAGGUGUUUGAGCAACAUACACUUCUUCUUCAAUUUUUCCGUUGAGAAAGGCACUCUUUACAUCCAUUUGGUACAGAAGAAUGUUGUUGUGGUUGGCAUAGGCUAGCAGAAUGCGAAUAGCUUCAAGCCUAGCCACAUAAGCAAAUGUUUCAUCGAAGUCAAUCCCUUCAACUUGAGUGUAACCUUGAGCAACAAGACGAGUUUUGUUUCUGACAACUUGACCAUGCUCAUCUUGUUUGUUGUGAUAGAUCCAUUUGGUGCCAAUGAUAUUGUGCUUGCGAGGAUCAGGACGCUUUACUAGUUCCCAAACAUUGUUCAGCUCAAACUGUUGAAGCUCUUCUUGCAUAGCUUGAAUCCAUUCAGAUUCCAUGAAGGCUUCAUCAACCUUCUUGGGUUCAGAUAUAGAGACAAAUGCAAGGUGCCCACAGAAAUUUGCUAGCUGUGUUGCUCUUGAGCGACCAGGUGCAUUGAUGCUAUCAAUUAUCUUCUCAAUUUGUACUUCAUUUGCAACUCGAGGAUGAACUGGACAAAGAUUUUGCCCUUGCUGAUCAUAAUCUUCAUCUUCAGCAUCGACUUCAGGCUGAGCAGUGUCUUCGGGUUGAUUAGGUGCAGAAAUGAUGAUUUCCUCUUCAGCCUGUGCCUCUGAAGGUAUGAUUUCUCCAGUACCCAUAAGCUUGAUAGAUUCACUUGGUGAGGCUUCAUCUAGCACAUUUGGCAGGUGCUCUCUUUGCGAGCCGUUAGUCUCAUCGAACCGCAGAUCCACAGUUUCAACCACUUUAUAGUGAAAGAGGUUGAAGACUCUGUAGGAGUGCGAAUCCUUUCCGUAGCCAAGCAUAAAACCUUCAUGUGCUUUCGGUGCAAAUGAAGUGUGAUGUGGAUCCUUGAUCCAGCUGAAGGAAAUAUGCCCUAGAGGCAAUAAUAAAGUUGUUAUUUAUAUUUCCUUAUAUCAUGAUAAAUGUUUAUUAUUCAUGCUAGAAUUGUAUUAACCGGAAACUUAGUACAUGUGUGAAUACAUAGACAAACAGAGUGUCCCUAGUAUGCCUCUACUAGACUGGCUCGUUAAUCAAAGAUGGUUAAGUUUCCUAGCCAUAGACAUGUGUUGUCAUUUGAUGAACGGGAUCACAUCAUUAGAGAAUGAUGUGAUGGACAAGACCCAUCCGUUAGCUUAGCACUAUGAUCGUUUAGUUUAUUGCUAUUGCUUUCUUCAUGACUUAUACAUGUUCCUAUGACUAUGAGAUUAUGCAACUCCCGAAUACCGGAGGAACACCUAGUGUGCUAUCAAAUGUCACAACGUAACUGGGUGAUUAUAAAGAUGCUCUACAGGUGUCUCCGAUGGUGUUUGUUGAGUUGGCAUAGAUCGAGAUUAGGAUUUGUCACUCCGAUUGUCGGAGAGGUAUCUCCGGGCCCUCUCGGUAAUGCACAUCACUAUAAGCCUUGCAAGCAAUGUGACUAAUGAGUUAGUUGCGGGAUGAUACAUUACAGAACGAGUAAAGAGACUUGCCGGUAACGAGAUUGAACUAGGUAUGGUGAUACCGACGAUCGAAUCUCGGGCAAGUAACAUACCGAUGACAAAGGGAACAACGUAUGUUGUUAUGCGGUUUGGUCGAUAAAGAUAUUCGUAGAAUAUGUAGGAGCCAAUAUGAGCAUCCAGGUUCCGCUAUUGGUUAUUGACCGGAGAUGUGUCUCGGUCAUGUCUACACAGUUCUUGAACCCGUAGGGUCCGCACGCUUAACGUUCGGUGACGAUUUGUAUUAUGAGUUUAUGUGAUUUGAUGUCCGAAGAUUGUUCGGAGUCCCGGAUGAGAUCACGGACAUGACGAGGAGUCUCGAAAUGGUUGAGACAUAAAUAUUGAUAUAUUGGACCAUGUUAUUCGGACACCGGAAGUGUUCCGGAUAGUUUCGGGUAAAACUGGAGUGCCGGAGGGGUUACCGGAACCCCCCGGGGGAACUAAUGGCCCCCCUUGGAGUCCGAAUUGGACAAGGGAAGGGGGCGGCACUCCCCUUUCCUACUCCCUCUCCCUCUCCUUCCUUCCCCCUCUCUCCCUCUUGGUGGAAUCCUACUAGGAAUUGGAGUCCUAGUAGGACUCCCCUCCUUGGGCGCGCCCCCUAGGGCUGGCUGGCCUCCUCCCUCCCUCCUUUAUGUACGUGGGGAGGGGGGCACCCUAGAACACACAAGUUGAUCUUUUAGGCAUGUGCAGUGCCCCCUCCACAGAAACACACCUCGGUCAUAUCGUCGUAGUGCUUAGGCGAAGCCCUGCGCCGGUAACUUCAUCAUCACCGUCACCAUGCCGUCGUGCUGACUAAACUCUCCCUCGGCCUCAACCAGAUCAAGAGUUCGAGGGACAUCACCGAGCUGAACGUGUGCAGAUCGCGGAGGUGCCGUACGUUCGGUACUUGGAUCGGUUGGAUCGCGAAGACGUUCGACUAUAUCAACCGCGUUACUAAACGCUUCCGCUUUCGGUCUACGAGGGUACGUGCACACACUCUCCCCGCUCGUUGCUAUGCUUCUCCUAGAUAGAUCUUGCGUGAUUGUAGGAAUUUUUUUGAAAUACUACGUUACCCAACAGUGGCAUCCGAGCCAGGUUUAUGCGUAGAUGUCAUAUGCACGAGUAGAACACAAAGAGUUGUGGGCGAUAAUAGUCAUACUGCUUACCAGCAUGUCAUACUUUGAUUCGGCGGUAUUGUUGGAUGAAGCGGCCCAGACCGACAUUACCUGACCGCGUUCAUGAGACUGGUUCUACCACCGUGCUUCGCACACAAGUGGCUAGUGGGUGUCUGUUUCUCCAGCUUUAGUUGAAUUGAGUUUGACUACGCCCGGUCCUUGUUGAAGGUUAAAACAGCACACUUGACGAAAAAUCAUUGUGGUUUUGAUGCGUAGGUAAGAACGAUUCUUGCUAGAAGCCCGUAGCAGCCACGUAAAACUUGCAACAACAAAGUAGAGGACGUCUAACUUGUUUUUGCAGGGCUUGCUGAGAUGUGAUAUGGUGAAGACGUAUGAUAUAUAAAUUGUUGUAUGAGAUGAUCAUGUUUUGUAACAGUUAUCGGCAACUGGCAGGAGCCAUAUGGUUAUCGCUUUAUUGUAUGAAAUGCAAUCGCCAUGUAAUUGCUUUACUUUAUCACUAAGCGGCAGCGAUAGUCGUAGAAGAAAUAGUUGGCGAGACGACAAUGAUGCUUCGAUGGAGAUCAAGGUGUCAAGCCGGUGAUGAUGGUGAUCAUGACGGUGCUUUGUAGAUGGAGAUCAAAGGCACAAGAUGAUGAUGGCCAUAUCAUAUCACUUAUUUGAUUGCAUGUGAUGUUUAUCUUUUUAUGCAUCUUAUUUUGCUUAGUACGUCGGUAGCAUUAUAAGAUGAUCUCUCACUAAAUUUCAAGGUAUAAGUGUUCUCCCUGAGUAUGCACCGUUGCGACAGUUCGUCGUGCCGAGACACCACAUGAUGAUCAGGUAUGAUAAGCUCUACGUUCACAUACAACGGGUGCAAGCCAGUUUUGCAGACGCAGAAUACUCGGGUUAAACUUGACGAGCCUAGCAUAUGCAGAUAUGGCCUUGGAACACUGAGUCCGAAAGGUCAAGCGUGAAUCAUAUAGUAGAUAUGAUCAACAUAGUGAUGUUCACCAUUGAAAACUACUCCAUCUCACGUGAUGAUCGGACAUGGUUUAGUUGAUAUGGAUCACGUGAUCACUUAGAUGAUUAGAGGGAUGUCUAUCUAAGUGGGAGUUCUUAAGUAAUAUGAUUAAUUGAACUUUAAUUUAUCAUAAACUUAGUACCUGAUAGUAUUUUGCAUGUCUAUGUUGUUGUAGAUCAAUGGCCCAUGCUAUUGUUCCGUUGAAUUUUAAUGUGUUCCUAGAGAAAGCUAAGUUGAAAGAUGAUGGUAGCAACUACACGGACUGGGUCCGUAACUUGAGGAUUAUCCUCAUUACUGCAUAGAAGAAUUACGUCCUGGAAGCACCGCUAGGUGCAAGACCCGCUGCAGGAGCAACACCGGACGUUAUGAAUGCCUGGCAGAGCAAAGCUGAUGACUACUUGAUAGUUCAGUGUGCCAUGCUUUACGGCUUAGAACCGGGACUUCAACGACGUUUUGAACAUCAUGGAGCAUAUGAGAUGUUCCAGGAGUUGAAGUUAAUAUUUGAAGCAAAUGCCCGGAUUGAGAGAUAUGAAGUCUCCAAUAAGUUCUACAGCUUCAAAAUGGAGGAGAAUAGUUCUGUCAGUGAACAUAUACUCAAAAUGUCUGGGUACCACAAUCACUUGACUCAACUGUGAGUUAAUCUUCCGGUUGAUAGUGUCAUUGACAAAGUUCUUCAAUCACUGCCACCAAGAUACAAAAGCUUCGUGAUGAACUAUAAUAUGCAAGGGAUGGAUAAGACAAUUCCCGAGCUCUUCGCGAUGCUAAAGGCUGCGGAGGUAGAAAUCAAGAAGGAGCAUCAAGUGUUGAUGGUUAACAAGACCACUAGUUUCAAAAAGAAGGGCAAAGGGAAGAAGGGGAACUUCAAGAAGAACGGCAAGCAAGUUGCUGCUCAAGUGAAGAAGCCCAAGUCUGGAUCUAAGCCUGAGACUGAGUGCUUCUACUGCAAAGGGACUGGUCACUGGAAGCGGAACUGCCCCAAGUAUUUGGCAGAUAAGAAGGAUGGCAAAGUGAAAGGUAUAUUUGAUAUACAUGUUAUUGAUGUGUACCUUACUAAUGCUCGUAGUAGCGCCUGGGUAUUUGAUACUGGUUCUGUUGCUCAUAUUUGCAAUUCGAAACAUGGGCUACGGAUUAAGCGAAGAUUGGCUAAGGACGAGGUGACGAUGCGCGUGGGAAAUGGUUCCAAAGUCGAUAUGAUUGCCGUCGGCACACUACCUCUACAUCUACCUUCGGGAUUAGUUUUAGACCUGAAUAAUUGUUAUUUGGUGCCAGCGUUAAGCAUGAACAUUACAUCUGGAUCUUGUUUGAUGCGAGACGGUUAUUCAUUUAAAUCAGAGAAUAAUGGUUGUUCUAUUUAUAUGAGUAAUAUCUUUUAUGGUCAUGUACCCUCGAUGAGUGGUUUAUUUUUAUUGAAUCUCGAUAGUAGUGAUAUACAUAUUCAUAGUAUUGAAGCCAAAAUAUAUAAGUUUAAUAAUGAUAGUGCAACUUAUUUGUGGCACUGUCAUUUAGGUCAUAUUGGUGUAUAGUGCAUGAAGAAACUCCAUACUGAUGGGCUUUUGGAAUCACUUGAUUAUGAAUCACUUGAUACUUGCGAACCAUGCCUCGCACUACUGGAAUCAGCUUCUUUGCCGUCUGCCAUGAUCCCGGACGGCAAACUUCUUUGCCGUCUGUCAGCAGACGGCAAACUGUCCGUCUGAACACAUGCCAGCAAAGGCCUUCUUUGCCGUCUGCUUCCUAGAAACGGACGGCAAAGGAUUGUGCCGUCCGCCAUCCGAGGCCAGCAGACGACAAAGAUAACGGACGACAGUGGGGUGGGGUGAGAGCCGUUAGGGGGUUAACGGCGCUCUUUGCCAUCCGCUGACAGACGACAAAGAGGUCAGCCAGGCCAGCACUGGGAAGCUGCCACGUGGCCAGCUAUGCCGUCUGCCAGCGGACGGCAAAGACCUUUGAAUCUUUGCCGUCUGCUGGUGGACGGCAUAGCUGGCCCUAUUUGCCAGGCCUAUUUGGUCACUUUGCCGUCUGCCAGCAGACGGCAGAGAUUCAAAGGUCUUUGCCGUCCGCUGGCAGACGGCAAAGUACCCAAAUAGGCAGCCAGUGUUCCCAGUUUCUACAGGUAGCUGCCACGUGUCCUCUUUGCCAUCUGCCAGCAGACGGCAAAGCUCUUUGCCGUCCGCUAGCAGACGGCAAAGAGGCUAUAUAUCCCCUGUUUUUAUUUAUAUCCAUUUAAUUUCACAGGAAUUCACACACAGAUAUACAUAUUUUUUUUCACAGGCACAACAGACAUAUGAUGUAUCCAACACAUAGCUCCACCCAUGACAACAUACAUACAUAAGAAACACAGUUCCAUACAUACAUAUUACAGUAAUAUCACAAUGUUCAUCCAACACAUUGUUCCAUGCAUCCAUAUAACAAGUUCCACAUUUUUCAUCGAUACAAACGAAAAGAAGAACAGGGAAACAAGCACUCCAUCCAUGCAAGCUUCCAUAUAGUGAAUUAAAUCUGCAAAAUGGGAAACAAGAAAGUUAGAAGAACAAGACUAGAAUCAGAAGAAUAAGAAAAUGAAUAAGAAGAAGAAGAGGAAGAAGGAGAAGUUAGCAUACUUAGGUAAAAUGGAAACCUAGCUAAUUAUGCCGUUUUUGAGUGAACUAAGCAUAUUAUGGCCUUUUUGAUAUAAAGCAGCUUAGUAUAGGUCUUUAUUGAGUUAACCUAGGUAACUAAGCAUAUUAGAGCUAACUUCAUUUUGGAGAAGAAGAAGAAUGUAAGCUCAAAAAUGAAAUUUUUUCUUCUUAUUUAGCCUAUUUAGUCCAUUUAUGACAUAAUUUAGAUAGGCUAAAUUAUGUCAUAAAUGGACUAAAUAGGCUAAAUAAGAAGAAAAAAUGCCAUUUUUGAGCUUACCUAGCUAAUUAUGCCAUUUUUGACCUAACUAAGCUUUUUGUGUCAUUUUAGAGGACAACAAGCUAAGUAUAUGACAUUUAUGAGGUUAGCAAGGUUAUUAUGCCAUUUACGAAUAAAAACAAGUAAGAGGAGGAAAAGAAGAAGAAGAGUCUUCUUCUUCUUCUUCUUCUUUUCUUCCUAUUCUUCUUCUUCUAGUCUUCUUCUUCUUCUUCUUCUUCUUCUUCUUCUUCUUCUUUUCUUCCUAUUCCUUCUUUUCUUCCUCUUCCUUGAUUUUCUUCAUCUUAUUAUGUCAUUUGUAGACUAAAUAGGCUAAAUUAUGUCAUAAAUGGACUAAAUAGGCUAAAUAAGAAGAAAAUGCCAUUUUUGAGCUUACCUAGCUAAUUAUGCCAUUUUUGACCUAACUAAGUUUUUUGUGUCAUUUUAGAGGACAACAAGCUAAGUAUAUGACAUUUAUGAGGUUAGCAAGGUUAUUAUGCCAUUUACGAAUAAAAACAAGUAAGAGGAGGAAAAGAAGAAGAAGAAGAGUCUUCUUCUUCUUCUUCUUCUUCUUCUUCUUCUUUUCUUCCUAUUCCUUCUUUUCUUCCUCUUCCUUGAUUUUCUUCAUCUUAUUAUGUCAUUUGUGGACUAAAUAGGCUAAAUUAUGUCAUAAAUGGACUAAAUAGGCUAAAUAAGAAGAAAAAUGCCAUUUUUUAGCUUACCUAGCUAAUUAUGCCAUUUUUGACCUAACUAAGCUUAUUGUGUCAUUUUAGAGGACAACAAGCUAAGUAUAUGACAUUUAUGAGCUUAGCAAGGUUAUUAUGCCAUUUACGAAUAAAAACAAGUAAGAGGAGGAAAAGAAGAAGAAGAAGAAGAAGAAGAAGAAGAAGAAGAAGAAGAAGAAAAAGAAGAAGAAGAAGAAUCUUCUUCUUCUUCUUCUUUUCUUCCUAUUCCUUCUUUCCUUCCUCUUCCUUGAUAUUCUUCAUCUUAUUAUGUCAUUUGUGGACUAAAUAGGCUAAAUUAUGUCAAAAAUGGACUAAACAGGCUAAAUAAGAAGAAAAAUACCGUUAUCACGGAGGUGUAGGAAUGGUCGAGGCUCCACCAGUGGCAGACAGAGGUGAAGGACCGGUCGGGGUUCCGCUAUUGGUAGACGCAGAAGGAUUGGUCGAUGCUUGUCGGGAGCCAUGCUGCACCAAAGAUCAUUUCCAAUAAUGUCUUGUUAGCAUGAUGCAAACUGAAAUGUGAAUACUAGUAACUAACGACCAUUCAAAUCAAACUCACCGUGGUCGCCGGAGCAAUCUGGGGCAUCGGCGGAGGGGCCUGACCGUUUUUCUCGCACAUGGUCUGCACUUUGGUUCUCACGAGUCAGUCAUAUUAGUUAGUAAUGCGAACAUUACGUGCAUGAUUGGGCUAAUAUGCAUGAGAAACGUACCACGAUGAGCUCGUAUAGGGCCCGGUUAGACGCCUCGUUCCGGUUUCUCUCCUCCUCCAACAGCUUAGCCGUCCUCUCCUCCAUCUCCCUCUCCCUCUCCGCCGCCUCUCUUUUUGCCUCCUCCAAAAGCGCCCGGGUCUUCAAUCUCUCUUUCUCAACCAAUGCCUACAACACACCACUCCUCGUUAGCAUUGUAAUCAUCGACGGACGCACACACAAUGUAAUGGAGGAAAGGUGAGAGAGUCCAUAGAACUAACCGCCAUGGCGAGCUCCGCGGGCCGUGCACGAGGCGUUAUCCUAGGAUCAGAGCUACUCAGGCGCUUCUUGAUCUGCGGGAGAGUCCUAGGACAACGUAUCAGUCCAUCACCAAUGGCUUGAGAGCCAUGGGACCUCCCGCCACCAGAUAUCAUCACCAACUCUGUAUCAAAAGGAUCCUGGCUCGGGUUAAAGUCCUCCCCUUUCCUCGCCUUCCCCUUGUCUCUAUACUUCACAAGCUUGUGGUGGGAGGAGAUGUUGGUGAAGCUCUCUGGAUGAUCUAGGUCAGACUCCGUAAAUGGCUUGGCCUUCUUGUACGGGGCCAUAUGGGCCAUGCCAUAGAGGUCGAACAGAUUUGGCACAGGCUUCUUGUGGUGGUGCGCCUGAGAGAGAGGAACAAAAUAUUAGUUAAGGGCUCAAGCUAGCAUGAAGAAUGAUAUUGCUAUGUAAAUAGGUCAUUUUGGAGCUAAGAAAGGUUAUUAUGUCAUUUUCGAGGAAAAUAAGCUAAGUUUAGGCCAUUUUCGAGGUAACCAAGAUUAUUAUGCCAUUUUUGACCAAAGUAUGCUAAUUAUGUCAUUAUUGAGCUAUCCAAGGUAGUUAUGCCAUUUUUUAGCUAACUAAAGCAUAUUUAGGCAUUCUAUAGAGCUAUCUAAGGUUAUUAUGCCAUUUUAGAGCUAAUUAUGUCAUGAAUGAACUAGCUAAGAUUAGUUUAGGUCGUUAUUGAGCUAUCAAAGGUAGUUAUGCCAUUUUUUAACUAAAGCAUAUUAAGUCAUUUUAUAGAUCUAUCUAAGGUUAUUAUGUCAUUUUAGAGCUAAUUAUGUCAUGAAUGAACUAGCUAAGAUUAGUUUAGGUCGUUAUUGAGCUAUCGAAGGUAGUUAUGCCUUUUUUUAACUAACUAAAGCAUAUUAAGUCAUUUUAUAGAGCUAUCUAAAGUUAUUAUGUCAUUUUAGAGCUAAAUAUGUCAUAAAUGAACUAUCCAAGGUAGUUAUGCCAUUUUUAACUAACUAAGCAUAUUAAGUCAUUUUGGAAGGGAUAAAUGCUAGCAUGAAGAAUGAAAUUGCAUGAAUCAUGUAGCAAACCACAUACCCAGUUAUCCCCGUACUCAAACAGGUUGGAGCCCCCUUGAUGGUGUGGCACACCUUCCAUUUGGUCGCGCUUAUCCUUGGCCCUAUGGUGUUCGACUAGCCAUUGGGGAGAGCACCACGCAUCCACCAACGCCUCCCAACAGUCCAUCUUAUCCACACACCAUCUCGGGGGCACCUAAGUGAGUCAAGAGAAAUUUCUGCGCUAUGCCUAUGAAUCAAAUCAAGAAAACUAAGUUCAAGGCCUUAAGAAUAGGUAAUUACCUACAUGUACUUCUCCUUACUCAGAAACUUGCCGCAACACUUCUUCUUGACCCUCCUAAUACCCUUCGAGGUGUAGUAGUCUCGAACGGCCUGCACCCGAGCCUCGUGCCGUAAGUUCUGAAGUAGGCGCUUGCACUCGGUUUCGACAACCAUAGACGCGGCCUCCUGCUCUCCCUCUGAAACCCUGUAGAAGGUCUGCAAUCAAACAAGACAACACUGAUUAGUACAAUCACUAGGUAGUGUUGAUUUUUAAUUCUGUAAAGGAGAAAGUACCCAAAACCGACGGAACACAAUGUCGGCCACCGUCUCGCACAAGACACCGUCGACCCUCUCCUCCGGCAGGGCCGGGACAACCGAGUAUAGCUUCCAGGUCAGUGCUAGCUGUGGAACCUGACCCUCACUGGGCAACGUGACCCACCCAGGGAAGUGCUGCCGGCAAAGCACACCAAGGACCUGGUUGGGCCUGCGGACACCACGGGGGUGUACUCAGCCCCUGCAAUAUGACAAGGCCAACGCAUUAGAUAUUAAUUUGAAGGAACAUGAAUGCAAAAGGUUAAAAAAAUAGUAAAUGCACUUACUUCAACCCUUUAGGCACAAUCAACCACCUCUGGUCGGGGGUCGUCGGCACGGGCGGGAGCUUUGUAUAGCCACGCCUGUAGACCUUCUUGCCCUUCUCAACCAGCUUGUCGUCGCUGUAGCUAUCAUGUGAAAAGGUGUCCUUGCUACCAUUAGUAGGGCCACUAGCCUCCGGAGUCUCGUGGGAAGAAUACUGCGGGAUCAGAGCCUUCUGGGACAAAGACUGGUUGGCAUCAUCAUCAUCACUUUCAGUGACGUGCUCAUCAUCAUCAUCAUCAAUAAAUGCAUCAACAUGUGGAAGGCCUCCUUUACGUAAUCGUUCAAGCAUUGACAGGUCAUCUGCAGCAGUAACUUCUUCUUGUUCUGGCUCAGGGUUGAAGUCAGAUUCACUAUCGUUGUCUACUUCAAUGUUCUGGGGUGGAGUAGAGCGGUUCUUGAAACAUUUUUUUGGAAAGACGUGUUUCUUGGAAGAGUUCUCCUUCAUCAUAUGUGUCUUGGUUAAUGUGAGGUUCAUAAUCCUCUUCAUUGGGGGGAGGUGGUCUAACAUGUGGCGGCAUUUCAUAAACGACAUCCCAACCACUGAGAUUUGGAUCACUUUGAUAGGCCCACGGUAGAUAGAAAACUUGGGUUGCCUGUUGAGCCAUAAUAUAGACAUCGGGAACAUCCAAAUGAGUGCUUUGUUUGAUUUCGACUAGCCCUAUAUGUUCAUGAGGCCUUCUAGUCUCCCUCGGCUGGAACCAAUAACAUCUGAAGACUACGACGUUUGGUGGGUUUUCACCAUAGAAUUGAAGUUCAUAAAUUGCUUCAACUCUUCCAUAAUACUCGAUAUCUCUUUCACCGAUAGCAGAGACACAACAAUUUGUAGACUUUCGGUCGGCCAUAGAUAGCUCUUUGCCAUAGGUAUGAAAGCGAUACCCGUUGAUGUCGUAUUUGUCAAAUGAACGAACCUUAUAGUCAAAACCAUUAGCUACUUGUCUCAAUUCGGCAUCCAUAAUCUCUGAAUUAGCCUACAAGUUUAAUACGAAAGGAUUGUUGCAUUAGUCGCAAAUUAGCCAAAGAAAUGAAAUGGUCUAAUGGAAAUUACCGUUUUUUUGAACCAAGAGAUGAAACCGGGAUAUUCGCCUCCUUGCUUUGCCAGAAGCUCAUACUCUUCGACGGAAUCCUUUUGGAUCACCGCUCCAUAUGAGAAUAUGGCAACGUAUCGACUGCAUCAAAUAUCCAGGAAUAAGAGCAGUUCAAAGAAAUUACAAGUUGCGAGACAAUGUACCGAGAUCUUACUCGAUGUACGGCCGCACUUCUGUUAGGUUGUUGAAGAGAUACAAUGAAAUGGUCCGCCAUUCUUCAACAUCCAACGAUACUGGCUUCCAACCACUGGCUAGUGCGAGAUUCCCUUUGAAUAGGCUGAGGUUGGAUCGACCCUUUUUAGGGUCGUCAGCAUUGUACCGAGGCUUCAGAUUAUGCAAAUGAUGAUUUUUGGCUUCGUAGUGUGCUGUCACGAAGUUUGCCGCCUCCUCAGUGAUGAAUGCCUCGGCCAUCGAUGCUUCAAUUCUACUUUUAUUUUUACAUUUUGCCCGAAGCGUCUUCUGCAUCCUCUCAGUUGAGUAGCACCAACGAUUUUUCACGGGCCCCCCAAUCAUGCCUCGGUCGGGAGAUGCAAAAUCAAGUGUUGCAUUGGAUUAAAGAAGCUUGGCGGAAAGAUCAUCUCUAACUUGCAGAUCAACUCCGGCGCCAACUGUUCCAUUUCUUCUAGGAGGCCAAGCGAUAGUUCUUUCGCACAAAGAACACGGAAGAAAUAGCUCAGCUCUUCCAAUACUAGCCAUUCAUCCUCAGGGAUGAAGCCACGCAACAUCACCGGCAUUAUCCGCUCAAUCCAUAUGUGCCAAUCAUGACUUUUUAGACCAAAUAUUUUCAAUUUUUCAAGACUCGCUCCCCUCUUUAGAUUUGCUGCAUACCCAUCGGGGAACAUCAACUGCAUUUUUACCCACAAAAUAAUUUCCUUCAUAGCUGGCCUUCCAAGAUUGAACCAUGCCUUUGGCUUCGUCCAGUUCCGCUUUCGUUUCGGUUCUUGCAUGUUUUGUAAUGGUCUAUCACAUAGCUCCUCUUGAUCGACUCUAGCCUUAGUAUUAUCCUUUGAUUUCCCCUCUAUGCCGAACAAUGUACAAAAAUGGCUUCGGCGAUAUUCUUUUCAGUGUGCAUCACGUCGAUGUUGUGUGGGUAAAGGAGGUCUUUGGAGUAAGGCAGAUCCCAGAAGCAUGUCUUGUGAGUCCAGGCGUGUUCUUUAUUAUACCCCUUGAAAUACCCUGGACGCUCUGGAUCUGGCUCGAGAGCGUUUAACUGAUCUAGGGUCUGUUGGCCUGUCAACGCAGGUGGUGCAGAGUGUUUGACAACUCUACCUUUGAUGAAGUUCUUCUUGUCUUUCCUGAACUUAUGGAGAGGAUCUAGAAACGGUCUAUGCAAGUCGAAGCAAGUAUACUUGUGUCCUGCCGUCAGCCAACGAAACUCAAGAGCUCCCUUGCAUGUGGGGCACGGGAACCUUUCAUGCACACACCAGCCAACGAAUAGCGCAUACGCCGGCAAGUCAUGUGUCGAGUACAUGUACUAGGCACGCAUUAUGAAGUUCUAUUUGCUGAAGGUGUCGUAUGUCUUGAACCCAUUAUCCCAAGCUUCUUGCAAUUCGUCCUUAAGCGGCUGCAUGUACACAUUCAUAUUCUUCCCCGGAUAGUUGGGCCCUGGAAUUAUCAACGUCAGGAAAAUGUUCUUUCUUUGCAUAAUCUGCCGGGGGGGGGGGGGAUUGAGUGGAAUGAAAAACACGGGCCAACAACUGUAUUGGGCUGCCGUCUGACCAAACACAUUGAACCCAUCCGUGCUGAAGGCGACUCGAGGAUGCCUUGGAUCUGCCAUUCUUUCCUUAUGUAAUGCAUCGAAGCGCUUCCACGCUUCACCAUCCGAUGUGUGCACCAUCAUCACAUUCCCAUCUGCAUCUAGUUCGGUUCUUUUGCCCUUUUUGUGCCAUGCCAUCUGUCUGGCCGUCUCUUUAACCAUGAAAAGACGUUGAAGUCUUGGUACGAUUGGCAUAUACCGAAGAACAUUAACGGGUAUUUUGGUCUGCGUCUUCUCACGCAUACCGUUGUCUACCACAACAUACGUGGAAUACUUGCAAAUGGGACAAUAGUUCAAGUCCUCAUACUGAAGCCUAAAUAAGACACAUCCUUUCUCACAUGAAUGUAUCUUCUCAUAGGGCAUCUUAAGAGUUCUCAUAGGGCAUCUUAAGAGCACGAAGGAUUUUUUCGAACUGGUACAGGUUUGGAGGUAGCACAUGGCCUUUGGGUAGAAAUCGUCCGAAUACUGUCAUCAUCGCGUUGUAGCAUUCUCUGCCCAAGUUGAGUUGAUCCUUCAAAGCCAUUAUUUGUGAGAUGGCAUCCAGCUGACAAAGCUCAGUGUGCUCAUGGAGAGGACGUUUUGAGGACUCCAACAUUUCAGUGAAGGCCUUUGCAGAUUCCUCCAUAUCCUCGUCCGAGUCCCGAGCAUCGUCAAAGUCUUGCACCAUGUCUCCCAUCCCAGUACCAUGCUCGUCGGUGCGACGACGAACCACCUCGGCUCUGGCACGUUGGGCAGACUCACCAUGUAAUGUCCAGACCGUGUAACCAGGCAUAAAACCAAACUUCUGCAGGUCUUUACUCAUUUCAAGCUCGUCCCUUGUCGGUGUAUAAAAGAGGGGGCGCACUUUCGUACCCCUUUACCUGUGCGCGGACAGUCGAAGCCGCGCCCGUGGCCGCAGCAAGCAGAGUGGAGGAGGUGAACCAAGGAAAAACCAAAGCUCAAGACGGCCAGAGCAACGCCAAGAUCAAGACCGCAAAGAAGCAGAGAGGCGAAGCAGGUUCCCUGGCAAGAUCCUUGCCGGGGGCAGCCUCAGCGGCCCCGGCAAGACCCUUGCCGGGGGCAGCCUCAGCGGCCCCGGCAAGACCCUUGCCGGGGCGGCUCGCCCACACCAGCGGAGUGAGCCACCCUCAAGCCCACGGGUUCCAACUCAGCCAACCACGUUGGAACUAGGGCUCCGGAGGCACCUCCAUGGUGGCAUGCAGAUCUUUGUCAAGACCAAGGAAUGUUCAAGACCAGAUGAGGAUUAAAAGACAACAGCCCUCGGCAAGAUCCUUGCCGAGGAAGGCCACCAGACCCCCGGCAAGAUCCUUGCCGGGGACAACAGCGCGCCAUGGCAAGACCCUUGCCGGGCCACCCGGCAAGGCCCUCACCGAGGACGCCAGCCGGGCCACUGCCAGACCCACACCAACCAAGUCUCCGCUGUCGAUGUCAAAACCAGCGGAUCUCGGGUAGGGGGUCCCGAACUUGCGUCCAAGGCGGAUGUUAACAGGAGGCGGGGGACACGAUGUUUACCCAGGUUCGGGCCCUCUCAAUGGAGGUAAUACCCUACUUCCUGCUUGAUUGAUCUUGAUGAUAUGAGUAUUACAAGAGUUGUCUACCACGAGAUCGUAGAGGCUAAACCCUAGAAGCUAGCUUAUGGUAUGAUUGUUGUUGUCCUACGGACUAAACCCUCCGGUUUAUAUAGACAUCGGAGGGGGCUAGGGUUACACAGAGUCGGUUACAAGGGAGGAGAUCUACAUAUCCGUAUUGCCAAGCUUGCCUUCCACGCCAAGGAGAGUCCCUUCCGGACACGGGACGAAGUCUUCAAUGUUGUAUCUUCAUAGUCCAACAGUCCGGCUGUCCGAGGACCCCCUAAUCCAGGACUCCCUCAGUAGCCCCUGAACCAGGCUUCAAUGACGAUGAGUCCGGCGCGUAGAUUAUCUUCGGCAUUGCAAGGCGGGUUCCUCCUCCGAAUAUUCCAUAGAAGAUUUUGAACACAAGGAUAGUGUCCGGCUCUGCAAAAAAAAUUCCACAUACCACCGUAGAGAGAAUAAUAUUUCCAUGAAUCUAAUCUGCUGACAACUUUUCAUGACGUGGCGUCACACCACGGCCCGGUCAUUAUUCGAACCGUUUCUCCCAGCCUGCCACUGCAUGUUUCGCGAGGCGGUUUUAUUUGCACGUCUUGUCGAAGCAGAGAUCGUGUCCCCCUUAUCAUGGGAUUCUCAUCAAUACGGGUAUGGGUAACCCAAUCGUGCAUGUUGGUAUGACUCCUCGAUUUUAGGCAAGUUCCAAACGGCCACGCGGAGGACGCUUGAUAUUCACCCUCUUUAUAAAGGGGCCAAGGCCUGUCCUUUUCUUCUCGCGCUCAAUCGAAUCCUUCCCCCACCCCGAGUUCCAACACCCAAGGCUCAGGCUAGGCGUUUCGGACCUUCAAUCAUGUCCGGAUCCAACCUCCAAGGUCGGUGGAUGCCCUCCUCCAUCACAGAGGAGGACAUCAAGAAGCUAAGAGAAGCCAGGUAUCUGACCGCCGAAAUCGCGCACAGGCUGCCUGCUCGAGGGCAGGUCGUUCCUACUCCCGAGCCCAACGAGAGUGUCGUAUUCAUUUCCCACUUCCUCCAAGGGCUAGGAUUUUGUCUAGAUCCCUUCGUUAGAGGGCUCAUGUUCUAUUACGGGCUCGAUUUCCAUGAUCUGGCCCCGGAUUCCAUCCUUCACAUCUCGUCGUUCAUCGUCAUGUGUGAGGCCUUCCUCCACGUCACCCCACACUUCGGCUUGUGGCUCAAGACCUUUAAUGUGAAGCCGAAGAUGAUUAAUGGGCGACAUGCAGAAUGCGGAGGCGCCGUAAUAAGCAAAGGCGCCAAUGCUCCAUGGCCAAAGGGUUCCUUCCUGGAGGUGUCCAGCUUAUGGCAAUGGGAGUGGUUUUACAUCAUAGCUCCCCAUGGUAGUAAGUGGGUUGCCGCCCCUGCUUUCCGCUCGGGCCCCCCGCCACAACUGGCGUCAUGGGUCAACAAGGGGUUGGACUGGGGGCCAGUAAAUGAUGUGCCGACAUUGCAGAGCCGCAUCCAAGAUCUCCUCGAGAGAGAUGUCAGCCUUGUCAAGGUAAUGCAAGUCAUGCUAGUUCGUCGAGUCCUGCCUUGCAAACGUCGACCUCUCCGUAUGUGGGAGUUCAACCCGGAAGGACCGUGAACUAUUCAGCACUUCUUCGGCAUUACGCACGAAGAGAUGUAUGGAUUGUUCUUCGGAUCACAAAUAAAGUGUCCGGACACCACUGAGGAUGCGGGUCUGAGCUGCAAUCGUCCAGAUACCCAAGUAAGUAAUUCUUCGGCCGAACAUGCUGUCUCUUUAUUUAUCACAACAUCAUUCUGAAAAGUCGCUCUUUGACCAGGAUUGGGUGAAAAAGGCAAAGAUGAUCAGGUGUUCGGCCCCCCUUCCCGAAGGCUCAACAGAAGUACUGGCUAGAAUGCUUGAGCUCGCGCCUUAUCAAGCGCCAUCAGGGGAAGAUAAAGGGGGGAAUAAAGCAGCCGAUAGCGGGCCACACUCAUUAUUCAUCCAGACCGGGGGAAUUAGUACCUCCGCGAAGGAGGAUAACCGGGGAGAAGAAUCUAAAAUCCCCUCUCCCCAAGGAAGGAAGAGGACCACCUCCGAAGGCUUGGAAACAAUGGUUUCCAAACGAGGGAAGAAAUCUUUGUCAGGGGGUCCUACCCCAGAGGGUAUCCUUACCGCACAGUGCCCGCAAGGGAACCAGCCCUCCACCGAACUGUAAGUAAACAAAAGUACUUUAUAAUAAAUAUAGCCUGCUUCAUCUCUGAGAUCAAUAACCGAGACGUAUGUCUUGUAGUUCGGAUCGUAGCCCUUCUCGGCAGAGUUCGUCUUCGGGGGCUCUUCUUCCGGAGAUGAUGGAGAGCGAAACGCCUCCCCGUGCCUCCCCGCCUCGUGAAGCGGACGACCUUGAGGUGUCGUCACGGAGGAUUUCUCCUAAUGCGCCAAGGCCAGAGGGUAACCCUUUGGCCACCCGAAGUCCGGAGUAUUUGGCUCCUAAGGAGAGCAACAGAAAGAGUCCGGGACUGUCCGGUGUGCGACCAGACGCACUGAUGAAUCUUCUAGAGCAAGCGGCUAUCUCAGAAGUGCAUCGUACGCUAAUGGGUACGGUGGUUGAGAGGAUUUCAUCCGCCGAAAGCGGAUUGCAUGAAGCUUUUAUGAGCCUGCUGAGAGGCUUUGAGGUACGCAAAGUAAUAUAUAUUUUUGAUGGUACCGCACAUGCUAGGUGUGCCCUCUGCAGACAGUAGCCCCUGAGACUCUGGUUGCUGUCAAAAAAGGCGGCAAAUAGAGGAUCAUAGUCCCAGGUAAUAACCGUGAUGCUUUCAUGUGCAGGCGGCUGAGGGUCCAGUGGCUAGCCGAACUGGUGAGUUUGCCGAACUGAAGCGGCAACUUGAUGCGGCGGAUGCCGACAUCGUGCUUGUAAACAAGCGGCUUGCGCAGGGUAUGUAUUUUCUCCGGUGACCAGCACGUAUUAAGAGGAGCAUGAUGCUAGUAUCUUUAAUAUGCUGUGACUGCAGAUGCAGUUGCAGCCGUGGAGACCCUUCGGGCGGAACUUGCCCGAGCCAAGGAACAAGCCAGGAAGAGUGAUGGGGCCGCCCUAAAGGCGGUAGAAGAGCUGAGAGCCGAACAGGCUGCGCAUUGCCAGAGCAAAGAGAAAAUAGCCCAGAUGGCUAUUGAGCUGAAAGAUGCCGCCGACCGUUAUGAGCUUCUUGCAAAGGAAAGCCAAACGAAGACAGCGGACCUGGAGAAAGCUAUGGUAGCAGCCAAGGAAGCCUGCUCUAAAAUCAGAGCGAUGGAGGAGGAGCUACGUCAAGCCGGAGAUAUCGCGGCUGGGAAGCCCUUUUUGUUGCAGACGAAGUUCGGAGAUCCUAAGUAUGCCCUUCUUGAUCAAUUAUGGAGUUCUGCAGACGCAUACUUGGAUUUGGCAGCGAGUGCUGCUAAUGCGACCGAGUUUUUCAAAGAUAAAAAAGAUCACGAAGUGGAAAAGCUGUUCUAGUCGCAGUUCAAUGUUCCAGUGCGUUCGCUGCUGUUAAAUGAGCGAAUGGCCGAGUGGGCCGAGCUCCAUAGGUUGUCCGGGCUUGCCAUGAGGUUUGUUGUGGAUCAUCUUUAGCCGGAAGGACCAAGGCCGAAUAGUUAUUUUGGCUUAGUGCAACAAUUCCUUGGUGCUGUGCCGCAUAUCGACGCUAUGAAGAGGUCAGCGUGCAUAGAGGGUGCGAAUGGCUCUUGCCCGUGUCAAGACAUACUGGGCAGAGAUGGAGGCCACCGCUAUUGCAACCCAGAGUUCGGCCGUAGGCCGAGUAUCGGCCGAGCACUAUUUUGAAAAAGUCUUAGAAGGCGCUCGUUUAAUAGAGGUGUCAGGACCCCGAUUCCAAGUCACAUUGAUCUAGCCGGUAACACCUCAUAUCACUUUAUGGCCUCACGCACGGUAUUCCCACGGGUGUCGCCUUACCAUGGCCCGGGACCGUUUGCGCCUUUUGGCUCACGUAUAUGAUAGUGUCGCUAGCAUCCAUACGACAGAGAACCCGGGCUGACAUGACUAGUCGUGAACCCAAAGUGGCACUAACUUACGGGGACAGGCAUACAUGAAUCAACAUCGAGCAUGUCGGUCAGCAGCGUGCGAAUCCGGGCUGUAGCACUCGGCUAACAGGACUCCAGUGAACCGGGCUGUAGCAGGCAAGGCAGGACUCCGGAUGUCACCGCGUGACAUUUCCCCGAAGGGACAGACACAGGAACAAAGUGAAUCACAUGCCGGCCAGUCAAGUGUUUCGGAGCAGUAGUGCUGGGCUAGUAGGACUCCGGUGAACCGGGCUGUAGCGGACUACUAUGACUCAUGGAAGCACAAGACUACAUUUCCCCAUAAGAGAGGCUACCAAGGAUAAACAACUAGGUUGUCGGAUCCCACACAUACCAAGCAUUUCAAUCAUACACGCAAUAUGCUCGAUAUGUGUAAAUACAACAUGGCAUCACAACAUAACUCUACGACUCAAGUAUUUAUUCAUUAGGCUCCGAAGAGCCAGAUAUUACAAACAUGGGUCUCAUGACCCAACAUUCAGAGCAUACAAGUCAAAGCACAUGCGGAAGCUUAACAUGUCUGAGUACAGACAUCUAUAAAUGAAAAAGGCUGAGAAGCCUGACUAUCUACCAGAUCCUGCCGAGGGCACAAGAUCGUAGCUGAGGUAUCAAGCUAAACGUCGAAGUCCACACGGAACUACUAGCGAGACUGAUGUCUCUCUGCAAAACAUAAAAUAAGCAAACGUGAGUACAAAUGUACCCAGCAGGACUUACAUCAGAACUAUCUACAUAUGCAUCGGUAUCAACAAAGGGGGUGGUGGAGUUUGACUGCAGCAAGCCAGCUUUGACUCGGUGGCUAUCCUGAACUACGACUGCAAGUAACUCUUUUGAGGUGGCGCACACGAGUCCACAUAUUCACCAUAUCAAUACACCACUAUGGAUCCGCUCCCGUCUCCCUACGAGAACGCCAUCCACAGCACUCACGCUUAUCUUGCGCAUUUUAGAGUAUCCACUUUCACUUGUCUAUGAACUGUUAUAGGCAACCCAGAAGUCCUUUACCGCGGACACGGCUAUUCGAAUAGAUGAUGUUAACCCUGCAGGGGUGUACUUCGUCACACACGCUCUCGCCACUUACCACCAUGUACACGUCGUGUACCUCGGCAACCUUCAAGCGGAAGCCUGGCGAGGGAGUCGGCCACGACCUGACUAACCACACAAGUCUCUCGUCCAGGUUUAUCGCCUAUUCGGGUUCCAUCCGCAAGGAGAUCCGGCCGGGGUGUCACUCACGGCCCCAAACGAUGUGUGCAGGGUUCCCGAGCCCACCAUCCGGGUGCCACUCGGUACACCAGGCCACGUGUGCCUAGUCUGUCCCAAGCCCACCUGUACCGGGUGCCACUUGGUAGACUACUAACACUACCUACAAACACCAGAAACUAGUUGCAACUCCUGGACAGAGAUCAAGUUGAUUAAUAAGUCAAGAGGGGUCGAGUUACCGGAACCCAAUGUGUGGUAGUAACUGUUCAUGGAUCACAAACACAGAACUCAGUUCCUGAGGACGGUUUCAAUGAGACAACCCACCAUGUACUCCUACAUGGCCUCUCACCGCUACCUUUACCAAAUCGUGUUCACACACUUAGCUCUCACACAGUAGGACAUGUUCACAACUCUCCAAUUCAUUCCCGAUGAAUCAGACCUGACACAACUCUAAGCAAUAGCAGGCAUGACAAACAAGCAUGAAUGAGUAGGCACAUCAGGGCUCAAACAACUCCUACUCAUGCUAGUGGGUUUCAUCUAUUUACUGUGGCAAUGACAGGUCAUGCAGAGGAAAGGGGUUCAACUACCGCAGCAUGUAAUAGUUGAAACGUUGUUGUCCUAAUGCAGUAAAAAGAGAGCAGGAGCGAGAGAGUGGGAUUGUAUCGGAAUGAACAAGGGGGUUUUGCUUGCCUGGCACUUCUGAAGAUAAUAUAGUUCUUCAUCGGUGUCAUCGAUCUCAUUGCCGGAAUAACAUCUACUGAAGGGGGACAAUUACCGGCAACAGAGAGGAAACACAAUCAAUGCAAUGCAACAAUAUGAUGCAUGAAUGUGACAUGGCAAUAUGCUGUGAUUUGAGCUAAUGCAGCUAGCAACGAUUUAAAUGGAGUUGGUUUGAACACUAGAUUGAAAUUUGAACUCCACAUGAGGCAUUUCAAAUACCAUUAAUUGAAAUUGUCAUAUACAGUGGCUGUAAGUUGUUAAAACAUGCAUGAGAAUGCCAUAAACAGAUUCUUCAUAUUUUUUUGAUAAUUUUUCAUAUAUAAAUUAUCUCAUUUAGAGUUUUUAUUUUCUAUGAUUUUUAGAAGUUUAAACAAUUUUCUCGAAUUUCCCGAAUAAGAAUAAUCCAGAAAAUGAGUUACUGCGUCAGCUGGUCAACUGGGGCGGUCCAGGUCAAACCUGACCAGUGGGACCCAUUGGUCAGUGACUCAGAGCUGGUUUGGGUGGAUGACAGGUGGGACCGGUCAACGCUGACUUGGUCAAAGUCUAACUGACACGUGGGGUCCGCAAGAUUAGCACUAAUCUAAACCGAAGAUAAACUAACCUAAACAGGCACAGGGGCCCACAUGGCAGUGGCUCCGAGGGGUCAGUUAGGCGCUAAUGACGGUGCCAUGUCACCAGCCACCGGAGUUGGACGUCGGCGACCUCACAGUGCGGCGGCGGCUUGCCGAAAUCGCGCUGUGGCCGUCGGCUGGAUGUGCCCAGGGCACCGGGCGAUAGCCCUUGCUCCCGCGCAUCUAUCGGAGGCAGCAGCAGGAUACGGGGUCACCGGAAUCGACGCCGGCGACGAGCCGAGCGGUGGCCGGAGCUACGGGCAUGAAGCAAUCGGCGCUAGGGUGAGGGAAACGGCAGGAUUUUGUUGUCUACGACGUCUAUGCAACCUCACUAGGCCUCUAGGAACACGCUCCCGACUAUAAGGUCACCGGAGCAUCAACGGCGUGGAGCUCGGGCGGCGGUGCUCCUCGGCUUCCAUGAAAACGGCGGCCAGAGCUCGAAAUCGAGCACGGGAGUAGGGGGAAAACGAUGCGGGGCUCACAUGGAGGUCGUUGAGCUUCUCAGCGGCUCGGGGGAGGCGUCGAAGGUGACGAACAGGCGCCGGCGAUCUCGGCGGCUGAAGGUUGAAGAUGACCGUGGCGGUGAGGACGUUCGGGGCGUCCGGCGACGCGUGGUUCUGUGGGGACGUCGAGGACGAAGAGGCGGAGCUUCUUGGCACAGUGAGAGGGCGAGGGAGGUACGGUGGUCAGGCGGGCGGCAGCUGGAGAAGGGGCAGAGGAGAGGGAGAGAGUGCAGCGAGUGAGGGAGAGGAGAGAGGGGCUUCGAGCCAUCUCCAGGCGCGGGAUUGGGUUGACGGAGAGCGCGACACGACGAAGCAGGAGGUGGCGCAGUGCGUGCGUGCGCGCGGCGACCACGCGUCUGUCCUUCUAUCCAGGGAGGAAGACGACAGGGAGGCUGCGGUGGUGGGUUGGGCCAGGAAAAAGAACUGGGCCGGCUCUGCUGCAGGUAAGCGCCAGGUAAGUCUUUCUCUCCUCUGUCUUUUAUUCAUUUGUUUUCUAUUUUCUAUUUCUGCUACUAUUUUUGAAUUUGGUUUGCUAACCAAAUUAUUUUUGCAGCUUCUGGAGAUUAGUGUGGAUGAUAGAUGCAUUAUUACAGGGCCCCACACAUAAUUCCAGAAUUAUCGGAGCAAUAAAUAAUAUGCAUAGCAUUUAGUUGCUCCAAUUCAAAUACUUAAUGAAUUCAUUCAAAAAUCCAGAUAUGUCCUAAAAAUAUGUGCAUCCGUUUUGGCAGAGGUAUCCACCUUAACCAAAAAUCAUGAACUUUUCUCAAGGCAUUUUGGAUUCUUUGAAAAUCAUUUUAAGUUGAGCCUAUUUGAUUUAAUUUGGUGCUAGGGUUUGUUCAUCCCCAAUUCAGAUUUAAAUGAAAUUUAGACAUGAUGCAGCAACCAAGCUAGUCCAAGUGCAUAGCAAGGCUAGGGACGUGACAACUCACCCCCACUAAACAAAAAUCUCGUCCCGAGAUUCAAGCGUAGGGUAAGAUGAAAGGGGAACGCAAAGUAACAUAGUCUUCACGAUCCAAUUGUUCUUCUCGAAGAUGUUGAUUCAUUGCAUCAUCUUGAUCUUGACAUAUUUUCUUUCGAGAGCUUCAUCCAACUAUGAUGACGGAAGAGAGGGAAAAUCUAUAGGAUUGAUCUUCUCGAAGAUCGAGCUAUACAAGAUCAACUCACGGAAUGAGAUGUUGAAACAUCUCGAGUUGAGACACAAAACACAUCGAGAGGGAUGGAAGAACAAAUGACGAGAUUUGAUUUGGUGGGCAACAAUCCCACGCUUAGGUAGGAUGGUGCAUGGUUUCAAAGUAGCGAGGAGAUAGUUGCCACGAUUCCAUAACGGGGCACCUUAGGGAAGGUGGCUCAUAGAAAUAUCCCUUAAGUGGCAAAAAGAAUUACUUUUGAUUCAGAGAUCAUUGAAACUCUUCAUACCAGCCUAAGGCAAUUUACAAAUGAUCAUUUGAAAGAAUUCAAAAGAAUGGCACACUCAAUUUGGAAAGGAAACUACGGUUAUAGAAUAGCUCGGCAAAUGGGAGGCACAUUCCAGUUGAUACCAGGGAUAUAACCUAGUGACUGAGCGUGCUUUCAAGAACUUGAGCAUUUCCAUAUUCAUCAAGGUUUUACCAACAUCCGUGCCGAGGAUCCUGGCAACACAUCAUACUACCAUGAUGAACGGUGAUGGAGGAUGCAGGUGCAAAGGAGGACAUCACUUUCUCAGAUUUUUCCUUAGCAAUGCCAAAGAAGCAAAUCUGGAUGAUCGACCGAGAGACAUUUAGCACUCCGCUUCUAAUGUUCUCCUUGAUGCACUAGCAUAUCCCAUUCAUAGAUAUGGUUUGAUAUCUAGAACAUCAAGUAAAAGGUCGGACUUCGAAAAAUAUAAAAAUCCAUAAGGAACAACUAGGGAGCAAAUCCUACGAAAUCCUUAUGGGGAGGUGGCCAACUUCCUCAAUCAAGUUACUACAAUAAUAGGUCUUCCGGCUGGGUGUGUUGGCCACGACAUCCACUUACCGGGUUACGAAGACCAAUAUUAUAGCUAUUGGGAGAUGUUCCAACCAUCAUAUCUGCCUGAGAUUCAGAUCUGGUUGGUAACAGGAUAUUUCAGACAGCAUGUCCGGAAAAGAAAGUUUGCAACACAAACCGACGAGAUGGCGUUGCGAGAUUCUCGGGAGAUGAACUUUGGUAGCAAGCUCCAAAAGAUGAGCGGGUUCUGCUACAAACAUGUGAACACGCUGUCCCAGACAAGCAUGCCCACAAGGUAGUCUUACAAUGAAACACUACUGAGUUCUGGUUGGGAACCAUCUUCGAGGAUAUCGAAGCCCUUGCAUAAGUCCGGGUCCUAAGAAGGAACUUCUUCUCCUUAAACAAAUCAAUUAGUGGCUUGGUGUGCUAGGGAUACGUAUGGGAUGAAGGUAGCUAAUCUGUCAAAUCACAGAAUACUUCGCACGUGCAUGACUGACUUGCGAUGAUCCCAGGGGAGCAAAACAAACUUUCUCAAAUUCACGGCGGCAACUUACAUCAACUGCACGUGAAUUAGAGGAAGUCACUCCUUCCAUCCAAGCAUAAGCUUCAUGAUCGGAACACAAAGGCAUUGCUUACAAAGUUUUCAACACUAGGUUGAUGUUCAACAUGAAUCAUGGGGGAGACAAGAUGCUGCUGAUGGGCUCAACAGCAACUCAUCGGAAUUUCCAUAUCACUGGACUUCCACCAUCGUGUGAACACGGUGAUAGCAUUGGUCAGACCAAAAGAUGUAAUGGUGUAUGCUCAAGGGAUCAACCACGAGUAAGACAACAUUAUGAACAUCGUUGGUUCUGAUUUGAUUUGACGAUAGCCCAUGUUCGAAUCAAAGUUUUGACAAGAUGAUAGACCCCACAACUGAUCACAAGGACCAAUCGAUGAAGAUAUCACCUUUCUUCAACACACACACACACAAGGAUAUCCCUUUGGAAAUGAACUAAGUUAGACAAGCUUUUACCUUCCAACUCUCCAAGUUGUUGUUUGGCUUAACCAACUCGCUCAGGGGUAUCCAACACGGAUUCUUGGAGAAAGAGUGGCUUAUUGGAAAACCGACUUGAUCACGAACUCAACAUAUCGGUCAGGGGACGACCUGGUGAUACUUCCGUGAAGAUAUCUGGAAAAUCACUAACCACCGAUAUGUUACUAAGCUCGAGAACAAACUUGCUUUUCAGGGCAAGACGAUGUGAUCAAAAAGAGCGAGGAAUUGAUACAAUCCUAACUCGUUGACCGAAGAGUGCACCAGGAAAUAUGGACUAGGUAACACGAUCAAUCUCAGGAUGGUGAUUGAAUAACCAACACGCUAAGAAUGAGAUUGUUGUCCAUUAACUACCAAGCAACGGGGUUGCUAGGAGUAUCGAUUUCACACAUCACGGUCCACUUGUCGGUAUUCCGGUUGUGACAACACGGGACCGAGGAAUGAAUAAUGAUGGCGAGAAGUAUCACUGCGUCAAGAAUUCAUAAGAGGUGGUGCAAUUCUCAUGACACUCUUGACAUAAAGAUGGCAACGCUCCAAGGUAGAGCAGAGCAAAAGCUGGAUUGGCAUUUUGGUCUGCGGAAUACAAUUGCUUUGACCCAAUCCUAGAUAUGGACGAGGUUCUGGAGUUUGUUUCUCCUAGUCAUUCUGAAAUAGAAUGGCUUGACAGACCACAAGAGCAAUAGGCAUCGAUGAACAUGAGUGCACGACUAGUCCUGACUAUCAAUUGAUAGACGGGGGUCGGAAUACAACUAAAGAGGGACAAUCCAAAGGAACGUAUAAUUUUCUAGGUUGCGGAUGCAUAGAUUUAGUAUGUCAAACAAGGUCAACAUAUUUCUUCCAGAUAAUCCAUGCAGAAAGGUAGGACUGGCAGAUUCACAAUGCAGAAUGGAGAACUCAUCAAGAGCACUCUGGUUGUGAUCUUUUGGUUCAAAGAACUUCUGCCAUAGUGGUUCAUGGUAUUGGAAGAACGAUAUACCACAGACCUCGAGGACUAAUGCAAAGGUUACUAAUAACCUAAAGGAACGAGCAAACACUAUCAACAGGAGGUAAGUGGAGUGAAUCUUGGGCUCAAGAACCCAGAAAUAGAGUGCCUACUAACUAAGUGGCAUCAUGGGAUGCUUUCGGGAAUGAUGGCCAGAAUCAUCACACUAGGAACACAAAACAUGGCUAGAUUACUAGGUGAUCCUCUAAGACACCUAGGGUCAUAAUAAUAGCUCCAACAUAUAUACCGAGACAAUAGAGUGCCUCAACGCACCGAUUAGUGUGGUUAAACUGGCCCAAAGAAACAUCGGGAACAGAAAGAAGGGAUUUGCAAAUGCAUCAGACUAUUUAGAAACCUGGGAUGACUCGGACAGCAUAACGGUUGUAAAUGUUCAAAAAGAAUUGAGACAUCCUGGAAAAAUGGUGGCAUAACCACUCAACAACAUCAUAUCAAGGUUCCAAGUCCAACUAACAACACACUGUAGUGGUAGCAACUGAAUUGAGGCUUGAGACCAACAAUCCUACGAGUCUACGGAUUAGUAACACGUGAUCCUGAUAGAAAGAUGAGAAGCCUAGUUCUUAAUCCCCGUAGAAGAGAAGAGGGUGACUCAGAUCAGAAGGGCAUAAGGUAAAGGAGUAAAAAGAGCCUUACGUUCCCUUCCACAAUCAAUUCCCUUAUAUAACUAAAGCAUUUCUAGACUCAACUUCGACCAGUUUGGCUUGGUAAUCCUACAGGCAGUCAGGCUCUGAUACCAAAGCUGUCAGGACCCCGAUUCCAAGUCACAUUGAUCUAGCCGGUAACACCUCAUAUCACUUUGCGGCCUCACGCACGGUAUUCCCACGGGUGUCGCCUUACCAUGGCCCGGGACCGUUUGCGCCUUUUGGCUCACGUAUAUGAUAGUGUCGCUAGCAUCCAUAUGACAGAGAACCCGGGCCGACAUGACUAGUCGUGAACCCAUAGUGGCACCAACUUACGGGGACAGGCAUACAUGAAUCAACAUCGAGCAUGUCGGUCAGCAGCGUGCGAAUCUGGGCUGUAGCACUGGGCUAAUAGGACUCCGGUGAACCGGGCUGUAGCAGGCUAGGCAGGACUCCGGAUGUCACCGCGUGACAUUUCCUCGAAGGGACAUACACAGGAACGAAGUGAAUCACAUGCCGGCCAGUCAAGUGUUUCAGAGCAGUAGUGCUGGGCUAGCAGGACUCCGGUGAACCGGGCUGUAGCGGACUACUAUGGCUCAUGGAAGCACAAGACUACAUUUCCCCAUAAGAGAGCCUACCAAGGAUAAACAACUAGGUUGUCGGAUCCCACACAUACCAAGCAUUUCAAUCAUACACGCAAUAUGCUCGAUAUGUGUAAAUACAACAUGGCAUCACACCAUAACUCUAUGACUCAAGUAUUUAUUCAUUAGGCUCCGAAGAGCCAGAUAUUACAAACAUGGGUCUCAUGACCCAACAUUCAGAGCAUACAAGUCAAAGCACAUGCGGAAGCUUAACAUGUCUGAGUACAGACAUCUAUAAAUGAAAAAGGCUGAGAAGCCUGACUAUCUACCAGAUCCUGCCGAGGGCACAAGAUCGUAGCUGAGGUAUCAAGCUAAACGUCGAAGUCCACACGGAACUACUAGUGAGACUGACGUCUCUCUGCAAAACAUAAAAUAAGCAAACGUGAGUACAAAUGUACCCAGCAGGACUUACAUCAGAACUAUCUACAUAUGCAUCGGUAUCAACAAAGGGGGUGGUGGAGUUUGACUGCAGCAAGCCAGCUUUGACUCGGUGGCUAUCCUGAACUACGACUGCAAGUAACUCUUUUGAGGUGGCGCACACGAGUCCACAUAUUCACCAUAUCAAUACACCACUAUGGAUCCGCUCCCGUCUCCCUACGAGAACGCCAUCCACAGCACUCACGCUUAUCUUGCGCAUUUUAGAGUAUCCACUUUCACUUGUCUAUGAACUGUUAUAGGCAACCCAGAAGUCCUUUACCGCGGACACGGCUAUUCGAAUAGAUGAUGUUAACCCUGCAGGGGUGUACUUCGUCACACACGCUCUCGCCACUUACCACCAUGUACACGUCGUGUACCUCGGCAACCUUCAAGCGGAAGCCUGGCGAGGGAGUCGGCCACGACCUGACUAACCACACAAGUCUCUCGUCCAGGUUUAUCGCCUAUUCGGGUUCCAUCCGCAAGGAGAUCCGGCCGGGGUGUCGCUCACGGCCCCAAACGAUGUGUGCAGGGUUCCCGAGCCCACCAUCCGGGUGCCACUCGGUACACCAGGCCACGUGUGCCUAGUCUGUCCCAAGCCCACCUGUACCGGGUGCCACUUGGUAGACUACUAACACUACCUACAAACACCAGAAACUAGUUGCAACUCCUGGACAGAGAUCAAGUUGAUUAAUAAGUCGAGGGGGGUCGAGUUACCGGAACCCAAUGUGUGGUAGUAACUGUUCAUGGGUCACAAACACAGAACUCAGUUCCUGAGGACGGUUUCAAUGAGACAACCCACCAUGUACUCCUACAUGGCCUCUCACCGCUACCUUUACCAAAUCGUGUUCACACACUUAGCUCUCACACAGUAGGACAUGUUCACAACUCUCCAAUUCAUUCCCGAUGAAUCAGACCUGACACAACUCUAAGCAAUAGCAGGCAUGACAAACAAGCAUGAAUGAGUAGGCACAUCAGGGCUCAAACAACUCCUACUCAUGCUAGUGGGUUUCAUCUAUUUACUGUGGCAAUGACAGGUCAUGCAGAGGAAAGGGGUUCAACUAUCGCAGCAUGUACCAGUUGAAACGUUGUUGUCCUAAUGCAGUAAAAGAGAGCAGGAGCGGGAGAGUGGGAUUGUAUCGGAAUGAACAAGGGGGUUUUGCUUGCCUGGCACUUCUGAAGAUAAUAUAGUUCUUCAUCGGUGUCAUCGAUCUCAUUGCUGGAAUAACAUCUACUGAAGGGGGACAAUUACCGGCAACAGAGAGGAAACACAAUCAAUGCAAUGCAACAAUAUGAUGCAUGAAUGUGACAUGGCAAUAUGCUAUGAUUUGAGCUAAUGCAGCUAGCAACGAUUUAAAUGGAGUUGGUUUGAACACUAGAUUCAAAUUUGAAUUCCACAUGAGGCAUUUCAAAUACCAUUAAUUGAAAUUGUCAUAUACAGUGGCUGUAAGUUGUUAAAACAUGCAUGAGAAUGCCAUAAACAGAUUCUUCAUAUUUUUCUGAUAAUGUUUCAUAUAUAAAUUAUCUCAUUUGGAGUUACGGUUUAUUUUCUAUGAUUUUUAGAAGUUUAAACAAUUUUCUCGAAUUUCCUGAAUAAGAAUAAUCCAGAAAAUGAGUUACUGCAUCAGCAUUGCGUCAGCUGGUCAACUGGGGCGGUCCAGGUCAAACCUGACCAGUGGGACCCAUUGGUCAGUGACUCAGAGCUGGUUUGGGUGGAUGACAGGUGGGACCGGUCAACGCUGACUUGGUCAAAGUCUAACUGACACGUGGGGUCCGCAAGAUUAGCACUAAUCUAAACCGAAGUUAAACUAACCUAAACACGCAUAGGGGCCCACAUGGCAGUGGCUCCGAGGGGUCAGUUAGGCGCUAAUGACAGUGCCACGUCACCAGCCACCGGAGUUGGACGUCGGCGACCUCACAGUGCGGCGGCGGCUUGCCGGAAUCGCGCUGUGGCCGUCGGCUGGAAGUGCCCAGGGCAUCGGGCGAUAGCCCUUGCUCCCGUGCAUCUAGCGGAGGCAGCAGCAGGAUACGGGGUCACUGGAAUCGACGCCGGCGACGAGCCGAGCGGCGGCCGGAGCUACGGGCAUGAAGCAAUCGGCGCUAGGGUGAGGGAAACGGCAGGAUUUUGUUGUCUACGACGUCUACGCAACCUCACUAGGCCUCUAGGAACACGCUCCCGACCAUAAGGUCACCGGAGCAUCAACGGCGUGGAGCUCGGGCGGCGGUGCUCCUCGGCUUCCAUGAAAACGGCGGCCAGAGCUCGAAAUCGAGCACGGGAGUAGGGGGAAAAUGAUGCGGGGCCCACAUGGAGGUCGUUGAGCUUCUCAGCGGCUCGGGGGAGGCGUCGACGGUGACGAACAGGCGCCGGCGAUCUCGGCGGCUGAAGGUUGAAGAUGACCGCGGCGGUGAGGACGUUCGGGGCGUCCGGCGACGCGUGGUUCGGUGGGGACGUCGAGGACGAAGAGGCGGAGCUUCUUGGCACAGUGAGAGGGCGAGGGAGGUACGGUGGUCAGGCGGGCGGCAGCUGGAGAAGGGGCAGAGGAGAGGGAGAGAGUGCAGCGAGUGAGGGAGAGGAGAGAGGGGGCUUCGAGCCAUCUCCAGGCGCGGGAUUGGGUUGACGGAGAGCGCGACACGACGAAGCAGGAGGUGGCGCAGCGCGUGCGUGCGCGCGGCGACCACGCGUUUGUCCUUCUGUCCAGGGAGGAAGACGACAGGGAGGCUGCGGUGGUGGGUUGGGCCAGGAAAAAGAACUGGGCCGGCUCUGCUGCAGGUAAGCGCCAGGUAAGUCUUUCUCUCCUCUGUCUUUUAUUCAUUUGUUUUCUAUUUUCUAUUUCUGCUACUGUUUUUGAAUUUGGUUUGCUAACCAAAUUAUUUUUGCAGCUUCUGGAGAUUAGUGUGGAUGAUAGAUGCAUUAUUACAGGGCCCCACACAUAAUUCCAGAAUUAUCGGAGCAAUAAAUAAUAUGCAUAGCAUUUAGUUGCUCCAAUUCAAAUACUUAAUGAAUUCAUUCAAAAAUCCAGAUAUGUCCUAAAAAUAUGUGCAUCAUUUUUGGCAGAGGUAGCCACCUUAACCAAAAAUUAUGAACUUUUCUCAAGGCAUUUUGGAUUCUUUGAAAAUCAUUUUAAGUUGAGCCUAUUUGAUUUAAUUUGGUGCUAGGGUUUGUUCAUCCCCAAUUCAGAUUUAAAUGAAAUUUAGACAUGAUGCAGCAACCAAGCUAGUCCAAGUGCAUAGCAAGGCUAGGGACGUGACAAGAGGCUCAGUGCUCGAAGAGUGUCAUGUAUCCCGAUUGUAAGAACAAUGUUAUUUGAAUUAUAAAGGCUAUGUUUAUACUUUUGCCUGAAAGUACUAUUAUGCCUCCUGUGCGGUCGUUUAUGUAUAUAUAUAUAUCUUGAAAGUUUGCAGUCGUCGGCUUCAGCCCCCACGCAUAUAAUGCGGGGGUGUUCGCAAAAGCGCGUCUUCACACUUGAUCCAACGUCUUGGUCCAUUAAGGAGGUGGUAGCGCGGUGAACGAGGCAAUCGGACUAUAUUGCUUUAACGCUUUCACUUAACCAUAGGAGUUUGACAGUGGGGCUACUAUAUAGCCCCUGGUAUUUCUGCGGCUAUCCGAAUACGGUGUGCGUACAUACAUGACCAGGAAAACCGGUCCUUCGUUAAUGCGGAGGAAUCCCGAAGAUUCCGAUGAGUCACUGAGUGGUUGACCAGUCUCACGCUUUAUCAUGACAGUCAGUUUUCGGCUUUCUCUACUGAGGUGCUCGUCCAGAUGAACCAGGGCACAAUCGCAGUAGUUCUCCCGGUGCCACCUUAGCCGAUGGAACGAAACAUAAGGUAGCAAAACAUAGGAGCUGGGCAAAACCAACAUUUGACCAAAGACAUGAUUCGGAGCUGAUGCAUAUAAGGCCAAACUCGUGACGCCGAACACUACCUAAGGUAUUCGGUCUUUAUAAUAUAUACUGGGCUGAGUAACACCCUUGAACCCUGAAUUUCCAGGUACGUGCAUUGGUCUGACGUGGCGAAAUGCCAAUAACGCCAGCGUCCCUCUCGGUUGUGUUGAGUAUCCGGAGGGUGUGAAGCAACAAGAGACAGUAAGAAAGGUUUACAUAGGGUCUUAAUCUAAAAAGAAACCUUUUAGCGAGGCCCUGCUACACGUCUGCGCCUGUGUCUCCGUUGUGCCGUAUCCUGGAAGGGUGUAGCACGAUUAUCAUCUGUUAAAAGAGAAGAACUUAGAUGAAAUUUUGCGUGCGAAAAAUUGGUUGUUCUUAAUAAACCAUUAAAAUUCAAGAUGAGUAAGGUCGAGCCGAACUGUAGUCCUUUUUACAUGCGGGAAGCCCCUGGUACCGCCUAUGGGGGUAUAUCCAUCAAACCAAUCUCAGGUUUAUCUAAGCUGUUACAGCUAAUGGUGCGCCGGACUCGUCUAGCCGUGUCCGCGGUCUUGACGACCGAUCGUUUACUCUUGGUUGGAGAGGCCGUUUAGUGUUCGGCUGCUAAAGCCGCCACACGCUCUUCCGUGCGUAAGGAACACUCAACAUUUUCGCUAACUGUAAUGAUGCCACGUGGACCGGGCAUCUUAAGCUUAAGAGAAGCGUAAUGCAGUACUGCAUUAAAAUGAGCAAAAGCUGUUCUUCCGAGUAGUGCUUGAUAGCCGCUUCGGAAUGGAGUGAUGUCGAAGGUUAAUUUUUCACUUCGGAAGUUGUCGGGAGAACCGAAUACAACCUCUAGUACUAGAGAGCCCGUACAGCAGGCCUCUGGGCCUGGUAUUACUCCUUUAAAGGUAGUAUUGCUUUGGCUGAUUCUUGUCGGGUCUAUCCCCAUUUUGCGGACUGUGUCCUGAUAUAUCAGAUUAAGACUACUACCGCCGUCCAUAAGGACUCGGGUGAGAUGGUAUCCGUUGAUUAUUGGGUCAAGCACCAAGGCAGCCGAUCCUCCGUGCCGGACAUUGGUCGAGCUAUCCCUGCGAUCAAAAGUGAUCGGGCAAGUUGACCAAGGGUUGAACUUUGGGGUGACGGGCUCUACGGCGCAUUCGUCUCAGAGUGCGUGUUUGCUCUUCCUCUCCGUCGCGUGAAUCAUGUUCACUGUUUUGACUCUGGUGGGAACGUUUUCUGUCCCCCAGUGUUUUGCGGACGAGGCUCAUCCUCCUCUUCACUUGGUGUCUCCCUCCCCUUGUGUUCGGCGUUUAGCUUGCCGGCCUGCUUGAAGACCCAACAUUCUCUGUGGGUGUGAUUUGCAGGUUUAUCGGAGGUGCCGUGAAUCUCACAUAAUUUGUCUAGAAUCUUGUUGAGGUUGGACGGUCCAUCUCUGUUGCCUUUGAAAGGCUUUUUUUGUUGACCGGGUCGAGAGCCCCUAAAUCCGGCGUUUACCGCCGUGUUGUCUGGGUUGUCUUCGUUAUUCCGACGCUUGCUUUUAUUACGUCGUGGUUUUCCAUUACCAUCCCUGACUUCAGAUGUGCCUGGGUCGCUAGUGCUACUAUGGGCCAGCCAGCUAUCUUCGCCCGCGCAAAAGCGGGUCAUAAGGCUUGUUAGGGCUGCCAUUGUCCUUGGUUUUUCUUGGCCGAGGUGUCUGGCAAGCCAUUCGUCUCGGACGCUGUGUUUGAAAGCUGCUAAGGCUUCGGCGUCUGGGCAGUCGACGAUUUGGUUCUUCUUAGUGAGAAAUCUGUUCCAAAGCUUUCGGGCUGACUCUCCGGGCUGUUGAAUUAUAUGACUUAAAUCAUCUGCAUCCGGAGGUCGGACAUAGGUCCCUUGAAAGUUGGACCUAAAAGCAUCCUCAAGCUCCUCCCAACUUCCAAUUGAAUUUUCUGGGAGGCUCUUCAGCCAGUGCCGAGCUGGUCCUUUCAGCUUGAGGGGCAAGUAUUUGAUGGCGUGGAGAUCGUCUCCUCGAGCCAUAUGGAUGUGGAGGAUGAAGUCCUCAAUCCAGACCCUAGGGUCCGUCGUUCCGUUGUACGCCUCUAUGUUCACGGGUUUGAAUCCCUCUGGAAAUUCGUGAUCCAGCACCUCAUCGGUGAAACAUAGGGGGUGCGCAGCACCCAUGUAUUUGGAUGUGUCAUGGCGUUCUGACGGUUGUAGUGUUCGGUUUUGAUUAUGCGCUGGAGCACACUUCCUAGAUCCGUAGAUGGAUCUGGUCACGCCGGCUUUUUGACGCAAGUCCUUGCGUGGAUCAUGUGCUGACUUAUGUGCGGCCUCGUUAGCCGCUCUAUCGCGGCCACGAGGUGGUCGAUCCGACGGGUCGGCCGUUUUAUUUUUCGGCUGUGUGGGAUCUAAGGCCUUAUCAUCGAAUUCAGGCAACAACUUGCGCUUUGGAUAGCUCUUUGUGUGGCAACUACCACCAUACUUUUCUUCAGUGUCGAGCACUUUGUUCCAUCUACUGUUGAGCGUAUUCUGCGCAGCCUUUGCUUCUGCUUCUUCAGACUCCUCGCGGUGGCAAUAAGCCUUCUACGGAGGUUCUCUUGUUCCAAGUGCCUUUCCGGGAUGAUGUGUGCGUCAUCGUCCGGACUGUUUUCCUCUCCGGAGAGAGGUUGAUGAGAUUUAUCCUCGGCGUCGAUGUGAUCGGACAGCGGCUCCGUACUAUGUUCGCUGUUCGCUGGUUCAUCUUGCUCUAUCACUGGGUCAAUGUGGUCGUCGCUUCCUCUGGAGUCGACCGGGGUGUUAUUUUUUCUUGCGCUGUUAUCGCUGUUUUUGCCGAGGCGGGAUUUGGAGCGGCGCCUACGCUGUCGCUUUGGUUGCUUCUCAAGGGAGCUAUCCUUCGCAGCAUCCUUCCGUUCCUCAUCAUUGUUUUCUUUGGGAGUAUCCACCAUAUAUACAUCGUGUGAUGAAGUGGCUGUCCAGCGCCCUGUGGGCGGUGGUUCCUGUUCGUCUCCUGCAUCGUCGUCCAUACCGUCGAUGUCUUCGGAGCCGAAAUCGAGCAUGUUGGUUAGAUCGUCGACAGUGGCUACUAAGUGGGUGGUGGGUGGGGAGCGAAUUUCUUCGUCGUCCGCAUCCCAUUCUAGCCGGACAUAGUUCGGCCAAGGGUCUCCUGACAGGGAGAGAGACCUCAACGAGUUUAGCACGUCGCCAAAGGGCGGGUGCUGAAAGAUAUCCGCGGAGGUAAACUCCAUGAUCGGUGCCCAAUCGGAUUCGAUAGGCACGGACGCAGGUGGUUCGGGGCCUGUGGCCAGGGAUGAAUCCGAGGAUCCGGCGAUACAGGUCGCAUAGGAGGUGAAGUUAGUAUUCGGCUCUAUCGCCACUGAGUGUGUGGCCUCCGAAGCGGGGUCCAUCCACCCGUCCUCGGACGGCGUAAUCGACUCCGGAGCUAGGGCCAGAGUAGGCAUAGGUGUGCUCUCCCGAACACCGUCCGGCGACAGAGCUAAGUCGUGCUCGUCGUGACUGUGCGGCGCACCUGACAUGGGCUCGAAUCCGUCAAAGAUCAAAUCUCCGCGGAUGUCGGCAGCAUAGUUCAAGUUUCCAAACCUGACCUGAUGGCCAGGGGCGUAGCUCUCGAUCUGCUCCAGAUGGCCAAGCGAGUUGGCCUGGAGUACGAAGCCGCCGAAUACGAAGAUCUGUCCGGGGAGGAAAACCUCACCCUGGAUCGCAUUGUUGCCGAUGAUCGAAGGGGCCAUCUAGCCUUACGGUGACGGCAUAGUGGAACUUUCAAUGAAAGCACCAAUGUCGGUGUCAAAACCGGCGGAUCUCGGGUAGGGGGUCCCGAACCGUGCAUCUAAGGCGGAUGGUAAUAGGAGGCGGGGGACACGAUGUUUACCCAGGUUCGGGCCCUCUCGAUGGAGGUAAUACCCUACUUCCUGCUUGAUUGAUCUUGAUGAUAUGAGUAUUACAAGAGUUGUCUACCACGAGAUCGUAGAGGCUAAACCCUAGAAGCUAGCCUAUGGUAUGAUUGUUGUUGUCCUACGGACUAAACCCUUCGGUUUAUAUAGACACUGGAGGGGGCUAGGGUUACACAGAGUCGGUUACAAGGGAGGAUAUCUACAUAUCCGUAUUGCCAAGCUUGCCUUCCACGCCAAGGAGAGUCCCUUCUGGACACGGGACGAAGUCUUCAAUCUUGUAUCUUCAUAGUCCAACAGUCCGGCUGUCCGAGGACCCCCUAAUCCAGGACUCCCUCAUCCGCCGCCGUUCGCAUGCAGCUGCCAGCUCAACCAGCUGAGCAGGCACCUGCGUGGCAACAUGCAGCUCCCAGGCCAACUCAUCAAGCGCCUACGUGGCGGCAUGCAGAUCUUCGUGAAGGUUCCACCACCGCGCCACCUCAGCUGCCUGCCUGCCUACAUGGCGCCGCACACAUCGCUGGCCAGGGCGCGUGUCGAAGCGAGGAGGAGCGGCGACGGACGGGACGGGCCUCGCCCCCGUCCCCGAUAAAGCUAGGGGACACCUCAGCGGUACAUUAAAUGCGUCUUGUCCUGUAAUACGAGCGAUAAGCUCGCAAUACUGUACGCCUUUCCACCUCCUGUAUGCCACUGUGGCAGCCCCUUUCGACUAUAAAAGGAGGCCCAUCGCAUACUGGAGAAGGAUUCGGCUCUUCCGAACCACGCACCCACCAUAGCUAGUUCGAGAGCUCGAGAACUCUCUGAAAUACAUCCACCAAAGCAGGACUAGGGUUUUACGCAUCCUCGCGGCCCGAACCUGGGUCAACGAUCCUUGUGCCGAUUACUAAUCCUGCUCUUCUCGCAACCCUGCGCCCGGGCAACCGUAGUAGGGAUUCUUGUGAUCCCAUAGGUGUCAUUCCACACCGACAUCUUUGGCGCGCCAGGUAGGGGGCGCAAUUGUGAGAAUCUGGUCUAGUGGUCGGCCUGGCAGUUCUUUAUCGCCAUGGCUCCCAAGAAGAAGACGACCACGGCGAUCGGCUCGUUGGCAGCUGAACGUCCCGUGCCAGUGCGGACGAGCAGCGGGCUGGUCGCGGACAGGACCCGGGCCGCGGUCCGCGAGCACCAGCAUGGCCCUGGCAGUCAGAGCCUGGCGAGCGGCGUCGUCCGCGCGCCAGACGACCGGACGCACGUCGCCAGAUCCAAAGACGGAGCUGGCCCCCCCGCAGGCGGCACGAGGCCCUCCAGGAGUGUUGUUGUGCCACCCCCGGGCGGUGCAGCAACCUCCAGGAUGCCCACGCCGGCGCCCAUGGCGCGCUCUUCCCAGGGUGCGCGCAACGAGCAGCGUCGCCGUGCUAAAGACCCCGGACACCGCAGUGGGAAGAGCCCUGUGCAUCGUCCGCGGGACGAAGGAGUUCAGCAUGCCCGCCAAAGUGCUGGUGAAAAUGGCGCGCAGCCGCUGGGUCGUGAUAGAGCUCCUUCUAACGUGGUUAGAAGUCGAAGCGCACCACGGUCCACGCAGCUGUCGCCGCCACCCACGCCAGCAGAAGCUUUGGCGCACGCGCAGCUGCACCUCGACUUCCCUCCUGCUGCGGAGAAGCUUGAUGAGUGGAGGGCCACCAUCCGGAGCCUCGUCGCCGUCGCCAACAAAGAUGAUCCGCGACCGGCGGGACCCUCGGGCCGGCGCCCCACCGAGCCACCACAUGCCAGCGCUGGGAGGACCGGGGGUGCUGCGGUUACGGCGUACUCUCCCCCUCCUCGCCAGCCGCCGCGGGUGUCGGCCCGUCGUGACGACGCUUGUGAUAACAUCUCCAUAGCGUCGUCCGACCCGCGGACCCGCCGCGACCAGCGCCAAGUUCUUCGAGAACGAGCUCACGAAGAUGCUCGAACCACUAUCGAGCGCCGGCGUGAUACACGCCACCAGUCAGACAAGCGGGCGGGACCCGCUAUGGACCACCCAGCGCCGGGGGGCUCCGGCGGCCUACCUUACGAGGUGGGCUGCCCAGCCUUUACCCGUGAGCUGCGGCAGUUCCAGUGGCCGCCCCACCGCACGUUCAAGCCCAACGUCAGCGAGAAGUAUACUGGCAAGACCCAUCUGUCCGAGUUCCUCAGCAUCUACACCAUCGCGAUGCAGGCUGCCGGAUCUCGCGAUGACAAGGUGCUUGCCAAUUACUUCCCGUUGGCACUGAAGCCCAAUGUUAUGUCUUGGUUGAUGCACUUGCCGACAGAUUCCAUUUCUUCUUGGUCGGAUAUGUGCCAUGAGUUCGUUGGCGCCUUCACUGGGGGCCACCAAGCUCAUGGCCAGGCCAGUGAUCUGCAUAUCAUUCCCCAGAAGGAAGGGGAAACCCUGCGCAAGUACAUCUAGAGAUUCAACCGAGUGUAGUACAACAUCCCCGACAUUCAUCCCGCCGCUGUGAUCAGCGCGUUCCAUCAAAACGUGCGCAAUCGCAAGAUGCACGAAGAGCUAGCGAUGACCAAGGUUAAGGAUGUGGCCGAACUCUAUGUUCUGGCCGACAGGUGCGCCCGGGCUGAAGAGGGAAGGAAGUACCCCGGCAAUGACGCCGGCGCGAAAACCGACUCUACCGACAAAGACACUGCCGCCCCGACGAAGAAGGGCCGGCGUCGCAAUAGGAAACACAAGGGCAAGGCCGUGCUUGCCGUUGAAGGGUCUGACGACACCGGCUCUGCCAAGAAGGUCAGGGCAGACGACCCCGGCAAGGAGAUUGCCGGGUGCGUCGCCUGCCGGGCCUUAGUAGCUGCAAGCAGUACUGCAAGAUCCACCGCACCAAAGGCCACGACCUCCAGAACUGCUAGCAAGUCGAGCUGCUUGCUGAAAAGCAAAAGGCCGAGUAUGAGAGGCGGGACAAGGAGAAGGGCCAGGACAGCGCCGAGGGAUCCGGCAAGAAGCGUGGCGGCCAAGGAGGCCGCCGCGACAAGGACAACCAACAAGAGAGGCCCGCCCGGGGCCGUGACCAGAAGCAAGAAGACGAUGAUCAUGACGAGGACGACGAGUCCGGCGAGCAAGAGUUCCAGAAGGCUACUGAGGCCAUGUGCGUCGACGGUGGCGCCUCGCUGCAUACUUCUCACCGCCAGCUCAAGUAGUGGGCGCGAGAGGUUACAGCAGCGGAGCCGUCGUUCGACGCACAGAAGCCGCUGAAGUGGUCCAGCACGCCCCUCAUCUUUGACGCCGAGGACCACCCUGACCGCACAACCGCGGUCGGGUGUUUGCCGUAGUUGGUCUCCCCAACGAUACACAACCUCAAGGUGAACAAGAUGUUGGUCGACGGCGGGGCCGGCCUGAACUUGAUCUCGCCCGUCGUGGUCAAAAGGCUGCAAAUCCCUGAUGGAGACCUUGAGGAAACGGGCACGUUUCAAGGGGUCAAUCCAAGGAGGAGCCAGCCAAAGGGGAAGGUCACGCUGCCCGUGACGUUUGGAGGAGAGUUGAACCAUAGGACGGAGAUGAUCGUCUUCGACGUGGCCGAGAUCCCCUUGCCCUACAACGGGAUUCUCGGCCGCCCGGCACUAGCCAAGUUCAUGGCGGCGUCGCACUACGCCUACAACAUGCUAAAGAUGCCCGGGCCGUUGAGUAUCAUCUCCGUCCCCUCCGAUAAGAAGGACGCGCUGAUUUGCGCUGACCAACUCUACUGGGAAGCAGAUGCAGCAGCUGCCGCCAAGGCACUUGCUCCUGCCGCUAAAGCCCCGGGAGGGAAGAAGGAGACAGGCAAGACCUCUCGCACCCACUCCGGCAAGCGCACCUCCUCGGAGUGUUGUGCUACCAUCGAGGACGUGCCAGAGAGCUCUACCGGCAAGAGUAAGAAAUCCAGAGCUGAGCCACCGCAGACCAAGAAGGUAUCUGUCAGGGAGGAUGGCACGGGAGGGGCUUUCACCAUAGGCUCCCCCCUCGACAGCAAAUAGGAAGGCGCGCUCGUCACCUUUCCGCGGGCGAAUGUCGACGUGUUUGCAUGGCAAGCAUCCGACAUCCCCGGUGUUCCCAGGGAGGUGAUUGAGCACCACCUAGCUAUCUGUCCUCAUGCGUGGCCCGUCAACCAUAAGGUCAGAAAGCAGGCUCUGGAGAGGCAGGAGUUCAUCAUAGAGGAGAUCAGGAAGUUGGAAGCAGCGGGUUUGGUGAGAGGAGUGCUCCAUCCGACGUGGUUGGCCAAUCCGGUGGUGGUGCGCAAGGAAAAUGGGAAGUGGAGGCUGUGUAUUGACUACACAGACAUCAAUAAGGCUUGUCCUAAGGACCCCUUCCCAUUGCCGCGCAUCGACCAGAUUGUCGACUCCACGGCGUGUGAUCUGCUGUCAUUCCUCGACGUCUACUGAGGCUACCACCAAAUCUUUAUGUCGAGAGAAGACAACAUUCAUCACCCCAUGUGGUACGUAUUGCUUUUUACGGAUGCCUUUCGGGUUGAAGAGUGCUGGCUCGACGUUUGCAAGGGCAGUCCAAAUUGGUUUUGAACCCCAGCUCCAUAGAAAUAUGGAGGCAUACAUGGAUGACAUAGUGGUCAAAACCAAGGACGGGGCAACCCUUGUGCAAGAUCCGGAAGAGACGUUUGCCAACCUGCGCAAGAUCAACCUUAAGCUGAAUCCUGAGAAGUGUGUCUUCGGCGUUCCGUCCGGCAAGCUUCUCGGAUUCUUUUUGUCACAACGCGGGAUCGAGGCAAAUCCAGACAAAAUCAAAGCUAUUGAACAGAUUGAGGCACCCAAGUCGAUCAAGGAUGUGCGUAGGCUCACCGGCUGCGUCACUGCCAUGAGCCGUUUCAUCUCCAAGUCCUCCAAGCGCGCCCUCCCCUUCUUCAAAAUCUUGAAGAAGGCAGGUCCGAUGGAGUGGACCCCAGAAGCCGAGGCGGCAUUGCAGGAUCUGAAGAAAUACCUUUCCUCCACGCCAAUACUGGUUGCGCCUAAGCCACAAGAACCGUUGCUGCUGUACCUAGCGGCAACGAAUCAAGUGGUCAGCGCCGCACUGGUGGCACAGAGGGAGGUCGACGAGGAGGCAGUGGCGACAAUAGAACCAGCGGACGGCGACCCAAAGAUUCCCCUGGCAGGACCUGGUGCUGGCAAGGCAAGGCCCCUGACAGAGUCCGACGCCGUCAGGGCAACACCCGCAAAGUCCAGCGAAGCGGUGCAGAAGAAGAAGAUGAAGCAGCACCCGGUUUACUUUGUCAGCUCCCACUUGCAGGGGGCUAGGUCGAUGUAAUGCCCCAAGACCGACGCUCCAGACGCCUUCCAUGUUUUUCGAGUUUUGUCGUGUGUAUUUAUUUGUUUGUUGCAUUCAUCAUCGCAUCAUCCGCAUUGCAUCCGCAUGUUUUCUUAAAACUCGUAGUCGUUUGUAGUUGCCGCUUCUCUCUUUGUCUCUGUUUAUCUUUUGUCAAGCCCUCUUGUCUUCGUCGACCUCUCUCAAACCCCCUCGUGCGCGUCCGAAACUGCUCCGAACCAGAACCGGGCUGUCGUUAGCGAUGGGUCCGGAUCAUCCCCAAAAUAUUUUCAGUUUCUUCUUUGAACUUCCCUAACUAUUUUUUCUUAACCCUCGGAUCUAAAUCGUGCUGUCCAGAUAGCACCGAGCCUAGUCUACUCGCUAUAUAUAUCCGGGCAAAAACCUAGACUAGGCCGUCCCAUCCAGCCAUUCCAUCCCACCGCCGCCACCCACCCGCCUCUUCUCGAUCUCCCCACCAGUCCAACCAUUGCACUACGACAAGGUUCCUCUUUCCUUGGGAUCCUGCCCGAUCCACCCAACCAGUGCAUCCCUUCAGAUCCAUCCUUCCCGUGCCCCUCUCGAUCCAGGAGCCCGUGCACCCCUGCAUGAGGCUGCCGUCUUUUUUUUUGACUGUACACAGUAGGGAAAAAACCCCACUGCAAUUUUUUUGUUUAUAUUAAUCUAAAAAAGUAAAGUCCCAGGAAGGAACCAAAGUACAAAAAGGCUUGAGAUAAGCCAAGAAAGAAGACAAAAGAAAGAGGAAAGGAAAAAAACACUAACACCUAAGAAACAAGGAUUACAUGACAAGAUUAUCCAGCCAAAAACAGUAUGCUCCAGCAUAGCUCUUUUUAAUUCUGAAUCUGAGAAGAGAGAGCUCCUCCAUGAAGAUGGCUUUCCACCUUUGAAUGCUGGGUUGAAUGUUUUGGAAAAUCAUGUUGUUCCUGGAGAUCCAAAUAGCCCAAGAGGCAAGGAUGACUAUCUCCAUGAAGAAAGGUACAUGAAGUUUCUGUUUGAGAUCAAGAAAAGCUUCCAUGAUUGAAACAUUUGCCUGUCUUGAAGGGCAGAUCAGAUCCCAACACUGUGCAGCAAAAGGGCAAGUCCAGAAAAGGCUGCCGUCUUCGACCGGUCUCGUCGGAGACCAGCGCCCCGCUGCCUUCUCCUUCCUGUUUGAUCCGGAGGAGAGGAGCUCCUCCAUGCUCCUCCUCGCGCCGAUGGCCGCCGGCCACCCGUGUAGCAGCAGCUCCAUGUCGGAGCUCCAUCACCACUCGUUGCCCCUCGCCGGAGCAAUACCAGCAGGACCAGCCCCGUCGCUCCUCUCCUUCCUUCCUCCACUUCUUCUCUCUCGCUCCCUCUGAUGGUGUCGCGACGCCGCCGUUUUGUAGGAGCCUGCCGCCCAUGGAUCUCCUGGAGGUCCCCGUCGCCUCCGCCUCGUUCUAGGGAGGGAAGCCCUCAAGCCCGCUCCUCCCGUCUGCCCGAGCGCCGCCGCCUCGCGACCCUGCAUCCCUCGCCGCCGGCCUCUGCUUCCCCUGCAUCCUCUGCUUCGAGCAGGAGGACGAGACGGCCCCCGACCCCUGCCUCGCCUUAGUUCUCGCCGGGUCGCCGUCUCACCGCCGGAUCCCGUCGUCCCCGCCACCCACUUGUCGCCGGAGGUCCCCUCCUCGCCAAGUCCCUCACCGCGCCACCUCCCUGCUUCGCUCCUGCACGAGCAGGACGACGAGCAUACACUGCCGCCGCGCGUUGACCUGCGCCUGGGUCGCGUCCUGCACGCCAAGACCCAGCGCCUCUACAGCCGGCCCAAUGUGAGCAGCCGCCCAGCCCCUCCUCUCUGUUGGCCCAACAUGCACCAGAUUUGGCCUGCCAUGUUUUUUUUUGCUCUGGACGAAUUCCUCUAUUAUUCCAGAGACUGCAGUUUUACAGAAAAGUCCCUAGUCUUCAUGCAUAUAAUAACUCAUCAACCGUGCAUCAUAUCAAAAUGUUUUAUAUAUGUAACUUGCUUAGAAUUUUGCCUAGUUUCAUAAUAUCCAGCUUUCACCCAUGUUAAAAAUGUUUAAACUUGCUGUUUGCUUUAAUUUUUGCAUAAAUGCUAUGCUAAAAUGAUUUAUUUCAUAACUAAAUAACCGUAGCUCCAUUUUAAGUAAACUUUAUAUGUAAAUGGGGUAGAAAAAUGCCUAGUUUAACUUGGUGCACUUUAUUUUGCUGUUUAACAACAUUAAAAUUGUGUUUAUGGCAGAACAGUAGCAAAUUCGAAAUAUGCAAAUGAGGAUUUUCCGGAAUUGUUGUUUGUUGUUUCGGCCUCAUUUAAACUUGCCUAAAUAGUUAGUUUACUUAUGCUUCACCUCUUGCCAUGUUAACCAACAUUUAAUAUUGAUGAGUAGCAUAAACAAGAGCGAACUAAAUAACUUGAAUGUGGUGUUUAGUCAAUAUGCAACUCGUUGCAUAUUGAGCUCCACCUAAUUUGUAGUAUUGUUUGUGCACCUUGCCAUGCCAUGCCUCUUUAAAUGGACUUGCAUCAUACUUGAUUGUGCAUCAUGCCAUGUUUAUGUGAUGGUUGUUUACCAUGUUGUUUGCUUCUUUCCGGUUGUGCUUCUCCUUGAUAGUUCCGGUUACGUUGCGAUUGUGAGGAUUCGUUCGACUAUGUCCGUUUGUCUUCUUCAUGGACUCGUUUUUCUUCCUUGCGGGAUCUCAGGCAAGAUGACCAUACCCUCGAUAUCACUUCUAUCUUUGCUUGCUAGUUGUUCGCUCUAUCGCUAUGUUCGCGCUAUCUACCACCUGUUUAUCAUGCCUACCAUAUUGCCAUGUCAAGCCUCUAACCCACCUUCCUAGCAAACCGUUGUUUGGCUAUGUUACCGCUUUUGCUCAGCCCCUCUUAUAGCGUUGCUAGUUGCAGGUGAAGAUGAAGUUUGUUCCAUGUUGGAACAUGAUUAUUUUGGGAUAUCACAAUAUCUCUUAUUUAAUUAAUGCAUCUAUAUACUUGGUAAAGGGUGGAAGGCUCGGCCUUAUGCCUGGUGUUUUGUUCCACUCUUGCCGCCCUAGUUUCCGUCAUACCGGUGUUAUGUUCCUUGAUUUUGCGUUCCUUACGCGGUUGGGGAUUUAUGGGACCCCCUUGACAGUUUGCUUUGAAUAAAACUCCUCCAGCAAGGCCCAACCUUGGUUUUAACAUUUGCCACCUAAGCCUUUUUCCCUUGGGUUCUGCAGACUCAAGGGUCAUCUUUAUUUUAACCCCCUGGGCCAAUGUUCCUCUGAGUGCUGGUCCAGACCGGGCGAUGUCCGGCGCCCCCUGGGCAACCAGGGUCUAUGCCAACCCGACGUCUUGCCCAUCCGGUGUGCCCUGAGAACGAGAUACGUGCGACUCCUAUCGGGAUUUGUCGGCACAUCGGGUGGCUUUGCUGGUCUUGUUUUACCAUUGUCGAAAAGUCUUGUAACCGGGAUUCUGAGACUGAUCGGGUCUUCCCGGGAGAAGGAAUAUCCUUCGUUGACCGUGAGAGCUUGUGAUGGGCUAAGUUGGGACACCCCUGUAGGGUAUGAACUUUCGAGAGCCGUGCCCGCGGUUAUGUGGCAGAUGGGAAUUUGUUAACAUCCGGUUGUAGAGAACUUGACACUUGACUUAAUUAAAAUACAUCAACCGCGUGUGUAGCUGUGAUGGUCUCUUUUCGGCGGAGUCCGGGAAGUGAACACGGUUCUUGUGUUAUGCUUGAAUGUAAGUAGUUUCAGGAUCACUUCUUGAUCACUUCUAGUUCACGACCGUUGCGUUGCUUCUCUUCUCGCUCUUAUUUGCGUAUGUUAGCCACCAUAUUUGCUUAGUGCUCGCUGCAGCCCCACCUCUUUACCCCAUCCUACCCAUAAGCUUAAAUAGUCUUGAUCUCGCGGGUGUGAGAUUGCUGAGUCCUCGUGACUCACCAGAUACUUCCAAACAGUUGCAGUUGCCGAUGAUACCAGUGCAGAUGACGCAACCGAGCUCAAGUGGGAGCUCGAUGAAGAACUUGGUCGUUACUAUGUUUCGUUUCCUGAUGAUCAGUAGUGGAGCCCAGUUGGGACGAUCGGGGAUCUAGCAUUUGGGGUUGUCUUCUUUUAUUUUGGUUCCGUAGUCGGACCUUGAUUGUACUCUGAUGAUGUAUGUUUAAUUCAUGUAUUGUGUGAAGUGGCGAUUGUAAGCCAACUCUUUAUCCCUUUCUUAUUCAGUACAUGGGAUUGUGUGAAGAUGACCCUUCUUGCGACAAAACCACGAUGCGGUUAUGCCUCUAAAUCGUGCCUCGACACGUGGGAGAUAUAGCCACAUCGUGGGCGUUACAGUCGAGGUACUCCGGUGUGCAGAAAUUGCUCUUCGGCCUCCUUAUGGCCUCGAGGAAGCUGCGUCAUUACUUCCAAGCCCACGAGAUCACUGUCGUCACCCGCCUCCCGCUACAACAGAUACUGCACAACCCAGAUGCGACCAGAAGGAUUGUGGAAUGGGCCUUGGAGUUGUCAAGCUUUGGGUUGAAGUUUGAAAGUACUUCAACAAUCCAGAGCAGAAUCUUGGCAGAGUUCAUUGCAGAAUGGACCUCAACACCCGACGAAGAAAUCCAAGAGACCGUUCUCCUCGGCAAGGAAGCGGACCGUGACUGGAUCAUGUACUUUGAUGGGGCUUUGUCGCUGCAAGGCGCCGGUGCCGGUGUGCUGCUUGUCGCACCCACCGGAGAGCACCUCAAGUAUGUGAUACAGAUGCACUUUCCCAGGGAGAUGUCCACAAACAACACUGUGAGUACGAGGGGCUGCUUGCCGGUCUCAGGAUCGCGGCGGACCUCGGGGUGAAGAAGCUCAUCGUCAGGGGUGACUCACAGCUUGUCAUCAGACAGGUCAACAAGGAUUACCAGAGCCAUUGAUGGAGGCCUACGUAGAUGAAGUGAGGAAGCUAGAGGAGCGCUUUGACGAUAUCCAGGUGGAGCACGUUCCCCGAGCGGAGAACGACAUCGCCGAUUACCUGUCGAAGCAUGCUGCAUUUAAGCUACCUGUGGAACCAGGUACCUUUUUGCUCCGGUUAACUCAGCCGUCCGUCGAACCAUCAACAGGGCGGAACAAACGAAGGAAAUCAGGUCCCGGCGAGUACUUUCCUACCGAGCCCCCUGGGGCUGCCGGCAAGGAUGCUGCCGUGGAUGCCGAGCCUGCCAGAGAGCAACCGGCUCCGGCAGGGCGUCGAGCCUGGCCGUGGAGACAGCCGCUCCCAUGUCGGAGGAAAUGCCUUUGGUCCUUGCCGUCGAGCCCCAGGCUCCGGCGUGGGCACAGGAUACUGUCCGAUUCCUCCAAAUAGGGGAACUUCCUGAGGAGCAGGAAGAAGCGGAAAAAGUAGCCCGUCGGUCUGCCCUGUACCAGUUCGUCGAUGACGUCCUGUACAGGAAAAGGCCGAACAGUGUGAAAUUGAAGUGCAUCUCCCGGGAGGAAGGACUGGAGCUGUUGCCAGAGAUACAUGUAGGCAUAUGUGGCUCCCACAUAGGGUCGAGGGCCCUUGCCGGGAAGGCGUUCCGGCAAGGUUUCUUCUGGCCCACCGCCCUCCAGGAUGCGACGACACUAGUAACCAAGUGUGAAGCGUGUCAGUUCCAUUCAAAGAAGCUUCAUCAACCGGCUCAAGCCCUUCAAACGACCCCUCUCUCCUGGCCAUUCUCGGUCUGGGGGCUAGACAUACUGGGCCCUUUCCCCCGUGCUGUCGGGGGCUUUGAGUACUGGUACGUUGCAAUCGACAAGUUCACAAAGUGGCCAGAGGUGGAACCAGUGAGGAAGGUGAUAGCCCAGUCAGCCGUCAAGUUAUUCAAAGGACUAGUCUGCCGUUUUGGUGUGCCAAGCAGAGUCAUCACCGACAACAACACGCAGUUCACAAGCCACACCUUCAUGCAGUACAUUCAAGACCUCGGCAGCAAGGUCUGUUUUGCUUCCGUGGCACACCCCCGGAGCAACGGCCAAGCAGAGAGGGCAAACGCUGAAGUGUUGCGAGGCCUGAGAACGAAGACCUUUGACAGGAUGCACAAGAGCGGAAGGCGCUGGAUUGAUGAGUUGCCGGCGGUUCUUUGGUCAAUCAGGACGACGCCAAAUCGAGCCACCGGUCAGACACCCUUCGCCCUAGUAUAUGGGGCGGAGGCAGUUCUCCCCACGGAACUCAUAUACGUGUCACCUCGAGUGCUCGCUUAUGAUGAGCUUGAGCAAGAGCAGUUGCGGCAAGAUGACGCGACGCUCCUUGAGGAAGAUCGUCUUCGAGCGGCUGUGAGAGCAGCACGCUACCAGCAAGCCUUGCGCCGCUACCAUAGCCGCAAGGUUCGUUCCCGAAGCUUUGAGGAAGGCGACCUUGUUCUUCGGCGCGUUCAGUCGGCCAAGAAUUCCAACAAGUUGAAGCCGAAGUGGGAAGGCCCUUAUCGGGUAAUACGAGUCACCAGGCCCGGCGCAGUCUUCCUGGAGACCGAAGAUGCCGUUCUAGUGAGCAACUCCUGGAACAUUGAGCAUCUUCGCAAGUUUUACCCAUAAGGCGCGGCUUGCCGCCCCCCCAACAAGCCACCUUUUGUACAAGCCUUGCCCGCAAGGCAUGUAACCCUUUGUACAAAGCCAGGCGCAGACCCUGAGCACAAAUAAAUGAAGCGCUGGCGCCCUAAGUUAUAGCAUGCAUGCUAGGUCGAGUCUCUUCCUUGGUUAGGGUUGAUAGUGCUUAGCGGCGACUAACCCCUAGCCUACAGGUCGAGUGCGCGUCUCUCUGUUCUUUUCUGUCCUCCUUUGGUUCGCAGGGCACAUGAGCACUUCUGCUGAGCUACUUAGAAGAAAGAGAACGGACCGGCGUCCCGACCCCGGCAAACCAGAGUUGUCGGGGGCUGCAAGUACAAGGAUCCAACCGCGGUGAGACAAGGUUGCCGGGGGCUGCAGAUCCAGGUAAGUGUUUUAUCCUCUGUCAUGCAUUUCAAAACGGAACUGGGGCAUGUGAAACCUCGUUUUAUCUCCAAACUACCAUGCUCCCCUUUUUCCUAUACCUAAGGAUUAUCUCCUAGGUCUGGAUUUGGUUGUAGCCGCGGCGGCAAGGAGAUAGAAUGAGGAGCCUAAGCCCACUCCAUCCCUGCCUCUGCCAAGAGCGCGAGAAUGGUCGAGUGAAGUGAGGGGGACGGCAAGGCCUGUUGCCAGGCAAGAAACGUUUAUCUUAAAUAAUAACAAGGAUUUGCUCCUUGUCGCGGGGUCUACCCACGAAUGAAAAACCCAGCAAACAUCCCUUUUUCAUUAAAAGCAUCCCAUACAGGUACAAUUCAUACGGAAUGAAAAACAUGAGCAAGGGGAUUACAAGUUCUAAAUUUAACGAAGGCCGCAGGCUUACAAACUAAAAAAGAGAUAAGAUGCCCGUAAUCCCUUUCUUGUCCCUCUCCUCAGGAGGUAGGUCAAGAAGGCUAAAGGGCAAAAGGGGCACCUAGGCGAGCUACGAGCAGCAAAAAGCACCAAGAGAACACCUCGGUGGCUACCCAAGGGUGGGCCGGUGAUGACGGUGCCGGGAAAGGAGCUGGAAGACGAGGCGGCAGGACCGGCAAUAAGCGAUGAAGGCGUCGGUGCCGGCGUACUCCGAGUUGACAGCCUUGCCACCCGCCCUCUUCCUCUUUCGCAGCCUCCCGACGCCAGCCGCCCAAGGAGACGGCCCCGAGAAGUUCAAGGAGCUGGCCCCUCCCCCGGCGAAACCCCGCCGGAGGAGCAGCCAGGUGCAGAUGCUGCUACUGCCGCACCUGCCCAGGCGCGGGGCGUCCGACGCCUAGUCGGACUCGUCCCCAUCAUCCGCCCCGCUGUCCUCCUCGUCACUAUCACUCGAGGAAGAGCUUCCAUCGCCGGAGUCUCCGUCGGAGGAGCUCUCCACGCAGCACUUCAGGCGAGUUCCAAACUCUCCGAAGACCUUGACAGAGAGCAGGCCGUCCUCCAUUAAUUUGAAGUAGAGGACGAGCCCUGCCGUCAGGCUGUGGAUGCGAGUGAACGUCUUCCUUCCGCGGCGCAGGUACAUGACCCGAGGAGCCAGGAAGUCAACAUCGACCCGCGUGCCCCCAUUCCCACAGCCCCUCAUGUGCAACCUGGGGGUCUGGGGCGGGUCACGCCCCAUCACCUGAGCAAACGGGGCGGGGAGACGAAGACGACGACGCGGAGGCCGGCGCAGCCUGAUGAGAACUCGCAGGGCUGGUCUUCAACGUGGCCCUCUAUCCGAAAAGGCAUCAUUGGCGGGGGCGAGGCCGGCUCGCCACCCCGUCCUCCUCUUCCCCGACCACCACGACCUCUGCCACGGCCUCGCCCCCUCCCCCUUCCCCUCGCGGCCGGCUCCACCACCGCGGGCUCAG
Molecule: long non-coding RNA, 52214 nt
Filed under: Triticum aestivum (bread wheat)
Lineage: Eukaryota; Viridiplantae; Streptophyta; Magnoliopsida; Poales; Poaceae
Description: long non-coding RNA (TAES_LNC000438)
Source: RNAcentral